RNAcentral lists this long non-coding RNA (55130 nucleotides) under Sorghum bicolor (sorghum). Its description in RNAcentral is "long non-coding RNA (SBIC_LNC010353)". The record is from RNAcentral. Lineage: Eukaryota; Viridiplantae; Streptophyta; Magnoliopsida; Poales; Poaceae.
GCCGCGAACCUAGUCAAAUUUGGAGAGAGCUUGAUUUGGGUUGACAUAUGCAAGAUUUGGUUCUACAUAUGUCGGGUGGUUAGGAACUCCAGCUGGAUUGCUAAGCGAUUCGAAUCGUCGUUGCUCCCCGAUUGGGAGACUCAAUUCCUUCGACCCUCAUCGUAGUUAAAUAUGCAACUAAGUGAUAAAAUGAGAAAGGGGGAAAUGUCUCCUGAGGUUCGGAUCCCAAUUCCCGGACUCAGAGUGACAUGAAGCUAUGGCCGUUGGAUAGAUAAUACUUUGAUUAAGGACUAGGAACAUACGGACUUGUCUGUAAGAAGCAACUAGGUAGACUGUCAUCGAACUCCUCGGCCUCUUGAGGAGAGGAAUUCAUGGGUAAAACUUGAAAGUAAGGAUGCACUAUUAGUAAGCUUUUUGGCAAAGCAAUUUGGCUCCUUGCUCAGCCACCCCUUGUCUACCCUAAGCCUGCAUUCCUACUUUCUCCUCUUUUUCCACCGGGUAAGUCUUGUUGAGUACUCCCGUACUCAGGGUUUUAUAACCCCUGUUGCAGGUGAAGCUCAGGAGCCGACCUGUUUCGGACCCUAUUGUGUGACCGUCGUCGAGGUUGACGACGAGGAAGAGUGAGCGUGACCCAUGGGCAGGGUCUGUAAAUUUGUACUCCGUGUACUAAAGUUUAAGUUACUCCGCUAGACCUAGCUUGUAAUAACACUCUACUAUUUGGAAGAACUCCUUUUGUAAAUUAAGUUAUGUAAUACUUCCGCUGUUUUACUCUGAAUUAUUAUUUUGAUCUUAUAUUGUCUGUGAUACUGCAAUGUCUUCGCAACGAGUGAUCCUGGUGUUAAGGUGGCCACUUGCUAUCCUGUAAGGGAGAGAAGAAGAAGUUCUCAUUAAUUGACCAUCACUAGUGGUCAGGACGAGUUCGCUUGAUACUCCACAGGUAGCGGUGGAAUGAGCGUCCUGAGAUGCUCAUCGGACUUCUAGAGUGGGAGGAUCCUCGGCAUCACUGUCAGAGGUCUUUGGGACAAUGACAGGUGCCGAUGGGCCCAAACACUUAGGGGGUUCUGCCACAAAUGAAUGGUGUAUGGUGACGAUGGUGAUAACAAUGGUGAAAGUCUAAUUCUAUUUUUGCUCUUUUAAGGGGAUACAUACCUUUCUUGCACUUUGAAGCUUUUUGGGGAGAAUGAGAUGCUCUAUAUUUUCUUUUUCUUUCCUCUCAGGUGGGCAUCUUGCACCCCUAAUUCUACUGUCAGACACUUGUCCAUUUUUACCUCUCGUCUCACUUUUUCUUUUCUUUCGAGGUUCCGGGCACUUGCCCCUUUUUAUUUCCUCGUAUUUUUCUUCUCUUUUUCUUUUUUUAGAGAGCACUCAUCUCCUGAGAUAAUAUAGCAAGUGGUAGUAACCAAGAUAACUCGAGCAUUUAUUUCACAGGGAAUAACAGGGAUAGGAAAAUGUUUUUGGCUAUUCUCUCCCGAAUUAGGAGUAGAAUAAUUUUGGGUGAAUCUGGAGAUGGAAAUGAGUGGAUGUAUGUGGAUGGUACUUCCGGAGUAGAAGUAGCAUGUAUGAGUGAUCGUGCAAGUGAAUCUUGAUUUUAACCACAUGACAAGCUCCUAAGGGUCUACACAGCUUGACCACACUCAAUGCUCAUAAGCAGUAAAAAAGUGAAUAUGUGGCUCAAAGUCUAGCAAGUAUGUAUAUAUGGCUGUGGUAGGAAUUUAAACUCUCAUCAUAUAGGAACUCAUCAUGUGUUAUUUUAAAGAUUUUUCAAAGAUAAAAUUCUCCAGAAUUCUAGCAUCUCUAGGAACAGAUAAACAGCAGCUCAACCUUCCCAUAUCAUAUCCGUUAAUGACUUAGACUUUAGAUCAAGUACACUUCCCACAAGUUCAGGUUUAGAGCAAAUCUUACUUCAUAACAGUCAUGCCUAAACUUGAGAGAGAUUUCAAUUUUAAGAACUAGUCAUGGCAGAGCAACUAUUCAUCAUUUCCAUGUGAGAGUUUAUCAUGAGGGUUCAUAGCAAACUUUAUUUAUUUAUUUAUUUAGAAAACUAAGCAAAAAUAUAUAUAUAAAAUUACAAAAUCUUUAUUUGGGUUUUCAUGAUUAUGCAUCUUUUAUUAUUUGAGUAAAGUAUAACCGCGAGUAGAAAUACUUAGCUGGAUAAAUUGGGGUGCUCUCCCCCAAGCUAGAUUUUGACGUAAUUUCUUCUGAUGUAGCUAGCAGGUGACGGAGGUGUAUUUGAAUGUCGGUAGCACCCUGACAGCGAUUAGGAUGUCCUCCGUCUGCUAGUCUUCUUUGAUCAUUGAAUUCUGUGGAGCUCAAAUAGACAACAAAGCUUUGUGGAACUAGUUAAGUGUUAGCAUAAAUAUCCAGCCUAUAUCUUGUUUAGCCUCCUCAAUAAAUGUUAUUUAAUUAGCAGGAUCAUGCACUUAUUAUUUAUAUUUUUAUUGUAAGAUGAAAACAUAUUUAUUUUAUGCCACCACAGUCAAUAUACCUAUGGGUUUUUAAACCAUAAGUCUACUCACAUGGGGAUUACUAUUUUUAACAUUUUUAUUUUCUUUUCGAGAUGAUAUGAACCUGAUUAACUAAACGAAAUAAUUGAAGGAAAAAAGAUAACUACCAAGUUUACCUCUUGGCAAGGCGUUCGGUGUUUUUAAGUCCUCCGAAUGGGACUCCUUGUGUUUUCAGUCGUCCUGGGAUUUGCUUGGUGGCGUAGUCGGUGGUUCCGGCGGCGCCUCCUCAUCGUGUGUAACUAUCUUCUCUCUCCACACCUGACUCGGUGCUACGGUCUCCUCAGGACAGUUUUGUUCAAGCUGUAUGUCUUCAGACCUUAUCACUUCUCCUUCGUAGUCUACCCAACCGUCCUUGACGAUUUGGGUCCUCUGAUUGCGGUUGCAUCGUCUUCCUCUUGUCCUGACCUGCUUAGAGUCUUCAACUAUAUAGUUAGGGUCAGUAAAGUAGUGGCGUACCUUCUCAGAGGGGAACUACACGUGGACUUCUCCGGUUCCAAUGUAGAUGAUAACUUUGAUAGUGUUGAGGAAUGGUCUUCCAAGGAUGAUGGGUGGAUCGUACUCGUCUUCUCCCAUGUCAAUGACCUAAAAAUCAUCUGGAGCUGAAUGUAUAUUGGUUGUAGGGGCAUGGUUCCAUGCAGGAGCUGAUAAGUGACUGCGGCCAUUAUGUUGACGUCAGAUCCGGUGUCGUAGAGUGUCUUCUGAAAAGAGUAUCCAUUGAUUGUGCACUCGAUGCUUGGAACACCAGGGUCGUCCUUCUUGAUCAGGAAGGGCGACUUGCGUCGACGAUGUUGACCUCUUCCGACAAGGAUCCAAUGUUUUAAGUCUUCUGGACAAGACUUCUCACCGUCUUCAUCCUUUAGGUGCAUCAUUUGAUUAGGUGUGGACAUUGACGUCUGCACUUCUUGAUACGGUGUCACCCAUGUUCUUCGUUUGCCCAGUAAUUCGUAGUGCGGCGUUAGCAGCAUAUUGCUCAGUGUGUUUGUGCUCAUAGAUCCAAGUCCUUCACUUGGUGGAGUCUGGAAGUUGUAAAACUCCUCCAUGUUUUGUUUGAAGUGUACCUAUUCAUAGAGACAAGGCAGAGAUCAAAUGCAUGGGCCCUGUUGGUGGAAAACACCAACAGAACCAAAAGUGUAUUUGUUCUUCUCUAACCUUAAGCAUAGUGAGCAAGACAAAGUUGAUGGAUAAUAAGAUUAUGAGUGUAGCAUUUAAAACAUUUGUCAGAUCAGAUUGCUCAACCUUAUGGAAAGAUAAUAUAUAUAUAUAUAUAUUUUGUUUAUAUCUUCCAAAGAUUGAAUGUGCAACAUAUUAGCUUAUAUGAUUAGGAGCGUGGGAUCACGAAGGUAGUACUAAGAACACAGAGUAAAGGACUAAACAUGUUGAAUCAGUUGGGUUGGUUAAUUUGGAGCUACAAAUCAUACAUGUUUGUCUCUUUAUUUAUGUGAAUGUUAGAACCAAGGAGAAGCUUAUAAAAGCAAUAGUCAAGUACCUUAAGAUGUUACCUUACUUGAAGAGUGACGGUACAGUAUCACCUUGUGGAAGCUUUCCUUUCUUAGCGGUUGUGCAUCGUGUUUGUGGCACCCUCCAUAGAUCAUCUCUUUAUGAUGAAUGAGCUAUGUCCUUCUUGUGCAAAUUGUUAAACUUCAUGUGUCUGCUUUAUCUCCAAUGAGUUUGUAUCUCAGGACUUCCCAAGUUGAUAUUGAAAGUUUUCCUGCAGGGGUUAGUCCAACAAAAUAUACCAAUGUCUACACAAGCAGUUUUUAGUUUAAUAACCGAACUAGACUCCAUGUCUAAUCUGAUUAAGGAAGGCUAUUUAACCUAAGCACCAUGCUUAAUUUAAAUGCCAAUGGAAGUAAAUAGAUAAAAGGUAGCAUGACAACAUUUAUAGAGAUCUACUCAAGUGGAGAUGAAGUAGUGUGAUUAGUACUUAACAAAUUGAGCAUCUCUCAAAGGUAGGGACAACCAACAUAGCAACAUGGCAAAGGAUGUUUUUAUGUAAAGUACUCCCCCAAGCUUGAAUUUUGCGAAAUUCAAGUUUGGAUGAAUUUAAUUCAAUGUUGUAUGAUGGUUGGUUGGACAUACCUUGUGCUUGUCAUUCAUCCGAUCUUCUUGCUCCAAUCCUGGAAAGGUUAGUGGCAAGAAUACCUGAAGGAAUAUUUCUACAAUUAUCUCAGUAUGCUUAAUACACAAGGCAAUGUUGCAAAUAAUUAGAAGUUCAUGUUACGAUCUGAUAAGUGCUUGUUUAAGGACGCUAAGCUUAUCCUUGGGAAACCAUCAAGUUAUGUUGGUGAAGUGGUUUCCCCUCCAACACCUACCUAUUUCAAGAUCAACUCAACGAGAUCUGCAAUAUUUAUUAUAGACAUAUGCAUCGACAACCGCCCUUUUAAAGUUUUUAUAAAUAGAAAGGAAGAGGGGGUUGGAGAUCGCAAAUGUAGUAAGGUUGGAGAGACCAAUUGAUUGAGGAGAUGUCUUAUAUGAGCAAGGACUUGGUGAGGUAUUUAUGAAAUAACUUCCAUGCUCACUGUUGUUUCUCUCAUUCUCAAACUCCAAGGAUGAUUCUUCAUGAAUGCUUAAAAUUCCUCUAGGAUUGUCUCUCAAGUUUGUUUUAUCUAUCCAUUCAAUGGUGAUAGCACAUGGAUUUUUGAUGCCCUCUAGCCAUUCUUCUCGAUCCUCCUUGUGGUCUUGGUGACCCUUAUGCAUGGGAUGUCUAGAGAGAUUCAUAGGAUCAUCGGGAGGUUCAAGAGAAAGAGCAUAGUAGAAAUUAUUAAGCUCACGGAUGGGUUGGAUAGCCGAAUUAUGGGAUUGAAAUGUUUGGAAAUCGGCUAUUGAAACUUCCUUUCCUCAUCUGGGAGAUGAUUCCUUCUCUAUUUCCAAGAUUUUUCUAUGAAGACUAGUACAAGAAGGAUGUCCACGAAUGAAGACAUACCUUGCUUUACUAAUAGAUAAAGAAAGAAAGACUCUACCAAAGGUUAUAUGAUUAAGACCAAUGUGAAAAUAUCUAGGAAAAACAUGGUCUUGUAGGGCUAGGUCUAAACCAUAAUUUAUAGAAAAAUUAAAAGAUUCCCUAAGUGUAGCUAAAAGUGCAUUAUCUUCUUGAUUAAAAGAUAGGACCUCGGCUAUAGAAAAGGGUUGGUUUUGACCUAUUGCAAUCAACUCCGAACACAGAUCAUAAUUAGGGGCAGGACUUGUUGACUCCCAUGGUCUAUGGCUGGUCUCCGAAGGUGCAAAGAAUUUAAUAAUAGGUAUGGAAUUUGAGUUAUCCAUAAAGAUAAAAAUAAAAAGAUAAAAGAAUAAAAGAAUAAAAGUAUAAUACAAGAUAAUAGCAAGAUUCAAAGUUAUCUCAACAAACCGUCUUUCUCCCCGGCAACGGCGCCAGAAAUGCUUGUUGAUAUUUGGUAACGCAAUAAGAAAAUGAUCCGCAAGCGCAUGGAUAUUGGUGAGCAUUUCACCCGGGAGGUUAUCCAGAGUAUCGUAUUUAUAUUUUUACCACUGGGAGAAAGGGUGCAUCUGACUAACCAAAUCUAUUGCUAUUACACCUUUAGGCUACAAAGAAUGUUUCUCGAUGUGAGCGAUGUAUAGAGAAGACUGCAACCAUAGUCUCGUUCUAACCUUGGUAAGGAUGAUCUACUGUUCUAUUGGGGAAGCUUACGGAAUCUAGACACCACAAAGGAUGUUCGACCCGCACCUAUAAAUCCUACCCGUCCUGCUAACAAGAUAUGGGAUACAAAGGUAACUCGGAAAUGUCACGUUCCUCGCUACUACCACGGUCCAGCUAGUCAGGGGAUAUCUAUGAGUACCAUAGCCUAAACACCACAUUUACGCUAGCAAUGAUUACUCUAAUACUCAACCGGAAGAGGAUUAAAGUAAACUCAUAAACCAAAGAACAAGAAAACAAGAACUUACUAGAAUUAGAAGUCGAAUUACUGAAGAAUCCUAGAAGCAAGCCUUGGGUUAGGAGACUUGAUCCCGCAGGUACAACUCGGAGUAGACACCGACAGGCCGGCCUUACUCUGAUCUACACCUCCACUCUAUCUCUCUCAAUCUAGUAGAAACUAGAAGAUCUAUUUCUACUUACAUUGGUUGCUAAGCCUAAAAAGAAAUAUUAUUUAGAGAAGAGGUUUUCCUUCGAGGGCACCCCUCAAUCUCUAUGAUAAGUUCUUGUCUCCUCUAGGGGCCAGGGGGGUCUCCUUAUAUAGUCCUCCUCCUCUAUGCAUUUUUGGGUCGGUAGGCGAGGUGAUACUACGUUAUCUUUGAUCCAUUAGGUCGGUGGAACAUCGUGUGCGAAGAGAGUCCCGAACGGAGUCUACGUCAGGGCGGGCGCCCUGGGCCUGGCCCCUUUCGGCCUCUGCUUUCUUCCCGUGGGUUCUGGAGUCUUCUAGAUGGUAGAAAAUUGCGCGGUGCGUUGAUAUCUCUAUGUAAUCCCGACAUGUGGGCCUUUCUUCCUUAUUUCCUGAUAACCCCCUGUAUAAAUAGACAAACACCAAACCUCGUGGAAUUCUAUCACAUAAAACCCUAAGUCUAGGUGUUGGUUUCAUUUGGAUCCUUUUCUUUGUUUAUUUGAUAAUUAAAUUUGGUACUUAAGGACCGUCAACAACCACCAAGAGGACGAAGACAUCUCCAUCGGUAGCUGCCUCUACUUUGGCACAGGCUUUCAAGGUAAAUUUUCAAACUCUUUCAUCCAUACCGAUUUCAUUCUUACACUUGUACUCACGAAUUUCCAUCCUUGUACCAGCAUACCAGCGCAUCGGCAAGGACCAGAAGCACAAGUACCGAUGCCUCCCAGUCCAGUCAGCCGAAGAGAAAAGGUGCCAAGAGUACCAGAGCACAAGCAAAGCGCCAAAGAGUAGCAACGCCUUCUCCUCCCCCAGUAUCUCUGAUCCCGUUGGAAUCUUCUCCCUCCUCUCUAGAGACUCAGAUACAGCAGAUACCACCUCCUUCUCAGCCACAAGAAGCACCCCAAGUGGAAGAACUCCAACCAGAAGAGCCCCAGCCAGAAGUACCUCAGCCGGAAGAAACAUCGGCUGAUGUGGGCGAGCAGACUACCGAUCCAGCAGGCUCAAUCAUAGCAUCGGUAGUUUCCUCAAUCCAAACAAGCACUGCACCUCUUCAAGAUAAACCUUUACGAAAUCACUGCCGAUGAACCUAGUUUCUUUCUCUUAUAAUUAUCUCUAUUAUUCUUUCAGCUGACAUAGUCCCAUCGGCAACCCCAGCCGAUCAGCCCGUGGUCCCAUCGGCAUCUUCUAGUCAGAGGCGAGAGAUUACCCUGAAACAAGUAAGUCACCCUAUCUAUCUGCAUUAUUUGUCAAUACUUAACCAUAGAAUGACUCAUUUCAUUUCUUUUUCAGGAACAGGACUCUCCUGAUAGUCUAUUCUCCUUUGCCAUCGACAUCUCUGAAGAUGAAGGCGAGGAGGCAAGUUCUUCCAGUGCAGUUGGAAUCAUAUUGGCAGAAAUCAGGGCAAAAUUAGAAGAGUUAUCGGCCCUCCUUCAUCAAGACACGGCCCAACUGGUUGAUGACUCCGAUUCAGCCAAGGCUUUGUUCCAGACCCUCAGAGGCCAAAUUCCUGCCGAUGCUGAAGAAACCCUUUUUCAAGCUGCACAUCUAGAGAGCCGUCAGCUGCAAUAUCAAAAGGCUACUCAGCGUCUUGCCGACAGAGCUGCCCUGGCUCACCUUUCCGAGGAGAUGAUGAAAGUGAAGCUCCUUGCCGAUGAGAAGCACAAGAACAUCAGCAUCUUAAAGUCUUCAGGGGAUGCACUGAAGCAGAAGAUCUCUGAUCUGUCGGCGAAAAGAGAAGCCCUGUUGGCAGAACUCAAGCAAGUAGAGACGCCUUGUCCCAAGCUCAACAAGAGGAAAACCAACUGCCUGAAGCGAUCAAGCGUCUUGAGCAAGAGCGAAAUGUCCAAGCCCGCAAGGCACUGCAGAUGAAGAAGAAACUGAAGCCAGUGGAAGGAUCUGCCGAUGAUGAUGUCAAAGAGAUAGAAGCAGCCAACCAAAUCCGCCUGCGUGCUACAUCGGCGAUCCAGGCGCUGUUGAAUACAUGAAUCCUUCAUUGGCAAUAUAUUUGCUCCUUUCUUUUCAACAUUCCUAAUGUUUUGAUCCAGCCGAUAGGACUGUUAUCGGCACCUUUUAAAACAUUAAGUCCGACCCCAGAUACAGUUUGAUCCAGCCGAUAGGAAUGUUAUCGGCACUUAAAUUUUUAUGCAUCGACCCAUAUGCUUGGGUAAUACUUCUUUAGAUAUUUGCCAUUUAAUGCUCUGGGAAAUUCAACUCCUUCAAGAGUUUCUAGAAUAUAAGCGUUACCCGGAGCCGAUCGACUUAUCCGAUAGGGACCCUCCCAAUUGGGAGACCACUUCCCAAAUUUUGAGCUUUUAGUCCCGAUCGGUAAGAUUAGCUUCCAUACUGUCUCCAUCGGCAAAUUCCUUAGCUUUUACCUUCUUAUCAUACCAUCUGGCAACUCUCUUCUUAUUCACUUCUAUACUCAUCAAGGCCCUUAGCCGAUGCCCUGCUAGAUCAUCCAACUCGUCUGUCAUCAAAGUAGCAUAAUCAUCUGCAGCCAAUUGAUCUUGAAAAGAUAGUCGCCUAGACCCAGUCUUAAUUUCCCAAGGUAACACUGCAUCAUGCCCAUAUACCAACUGAUAAGGUGAAACCUUAGUCGAUCCAUGACAAGCCAUCCGGUAUGACCAUAAUGCUUCAUUUAACAACGUGCGCCACCUCCUAGGAUUUUCUUCAAUCUUUCGCUUAAUGAGCUUGAUAAUUCCUUUAUUAGAUGCCUCGGCCUGCCCAUUUGCUUGAGCAUAAUAAGGAGAAGAAUUUAACACUUUAAUUCCCAUACCGUUUGCAAAUUCAUCAAACUCCGCUGAUGUGAACAUAGUACCUUGAUCGGUAGUAAUUGUUUGAGGAAUUCCAAAUCGGUAAAUAAUAUGCUCUUUCACAAAAUCGAUCAUAUUGGCCGAUGUAACUUUCUUCAAAGGAAUAGCUUCAACCCACUUGGUGAAAUAAUCAGUGGCAACCAAAAUAAACUUAUGUCCUUUGUUGGAUGGCGGAUAAAUCUGGCCGAUCAAAUCAAUAGCCCAUCCUCGGAACGGCCAAGGCUUAAUGAUAGGAUUCAUGGCCGAUGUGGGCGCUCUUUGAACAUUGCCAAAUUUCUGACAUCCUUGACACCCCUUGAAAUACUUAAAGCAAUCCUCAAGUUUAGUCGGCCAAUAAUACCCAUUUCUUCUAAUCAUCCACUUCAUUUUAAAAGCCGACUGAUGAGCUCCACACACUCCUUCAUGGAUUUCUCCCAUCAAAUUCCUAGCCUCAUCAUCACCUAAGCAUCUGAGAAGAAUCCCAUCAAUAGUUCAGUAAUAUAACUCAUCUUCAAGGGGUACAUACUUGGUAGCUUGAAACCGAACAUGUCUCUCCACUUUCUUGGAUGGAUCCUUUAAAUAAUCAAUGAUUUCUUUUCUCGAAUCAUCGGCACUGAUCGCCGAUAUUGCAUUAGUCAUGGGCUGAUAUCCCGAGGCAUGCUGAGCCAUCCGAUUGGCCUCUUCAUUAUGCAACUGAGGAAUAUGCUCUAAUUGGAAAUCCUUGAAUUCCUUUAAGUGUUGCAUACUCCUUUCGUGAUAAGUUAUCAAAACUUCGCUUCGGCAUUCAUAGCUGCCAGCCAAUUGUUUUAUAACCAGCAUAGAAUCUCCGAAGAUUUCAACAGCAUCAGCAUGAACCUCCCUUAAUAAUUCCAACCCCUUUAUCAAAGCUUGAUACUCAGCCUGAUUAUUUGUCGACGUAGCAACAAUCGGCAAGGAGAACUCAUAUUUCCUUCCCCGAGGGGAAACUAACAAUAUGCCGAUUCCUGCCCCCCGAUCACACGUGGAUCCAUCAAAGAAGAGCGUCCAAGGCACAAUUUCCAAAGUCUCCACUGUACCGCAAUGUUGAGUUACAAAAUCGGCCAUAACCUGUCCCUUAACCGCUUUAGCCGAUUUGUAAUGCAAAUCAAAUUCCGAUAGUGCCAAAAUCCUUUUACCGAUCCUACCACUCAUGAUCGGCAUAGAUCGCAUGUUUCGGACCACAUCAUCUUUGCAAAUAACAGUGCAUUCGGCCGAUUGCAAAUAAUGCCUCAACUUAAUACAGGAGAAGUACAAGCAUAAGCACAGUUUCUCAAUAGUCGAAUACCUGGUCUCAGCAUCAAUCAACCUCCUGCUUAAAUAAUAAAUUACACGUUCUUUCCCUUCAAAUUCUUGAAUUAAAGCCGAACCGAUGACCAUCUCAUCGGUAGACAAAUACAAUCCGAAGGGCUUCCCUUGCUGAGGUGUAAUCAGAACUGGAGGAUUCACCAAAUAAUUCUUGAUUUCAUCUGAAGCCAACUGUUGUUUUUUCCCCCAAAUAAAUUCUUGAUCGGCUUUCAACUUAAGCAAAGGACUGAAAGCACGAAUUUUACCAGACAAAUUAGAUAUAAAUCUCCUAAUAAAAUUUACUUUGCCGAUCAAGGACUGGAGCUCAAUCUUUUUGGUAGGAGCAACUAUUUUGCUGAUAGCAUCAAUGGAUCUCCGACUAAUUUCAAUCCCCCUCUGAUGCACCAUGAAACCAAGGAACUGUCCUGCCGAUACACCAAAUGCACACUUGUUGGGAUUCAUCUUCGAACCAUGCUUCCUUGUACAUUCCAACACCUUUCUCAAAUCGGCAAGAUGCUUCGUGAAGUCUCUAGACUUAACCACCACAUCAUCAAUAUAAAUUUCCACUAGCUUGCCGAUGAACUCAUGAAAUAUAAAAUUCAUAGCCCUCUGAUAAGUAGCACCAACAUUUUUCAAGCCAAAGGUCAUGACUAUCCAUUCAAACAACCCAACAUGACCAGGACAUCUAAAUGCAGUAUUUGGAAUAUCCUCUUCAGCCAUGAAUAUUUGAUUGUACCCUGCAUUGCCAUCCAUAAAGCUGAUAAUCCGAUGCCCAGCCGCGGCAUCAACUAGCAGAUCGGCAACUGGCAUUGGGUAUCCAUCCAUCGGCGUAGCUUUAUUGAGAUUCCUGAAAUCAAUGCAGACCCGAAGUUUCCCAUUUUUCUUGUAUACUGGAACAACAUUGGAAAUCCACUCGGCAUAUCGACACUGCUGAAUAAAUUUAGCCUCGAUAAGUUUAGUUAUUUUGGCCUUGAUGUCAGGAAGAAUAUUAGGAUUACAUCGGCGAGCUGGCUGUUGAUGUGGCUAAAAUCCAGACUUAAUGGGUAACCGAUGUUCAACAAUUGAUCUGUCCAAACCAGGCAUCUCGGUAUAAUCCCAAGCAAAGCAAUCUUUAUAUUCUUUUAACAAAUCUGUUAACUGUUGCUUACACUCAGAAUUUAACUUAGCACUAAUAAAAGUAGGUCUAGGCUUAUCACCACUACCUAUAUCUACUUCUACCAAAUCAUCGGCCGAUGUGAAUCCCUGGCCUAAUUUUCCAUCAUCGGCGAACCUAUCCAUUAAAAACCUUCAUCAGAACCGACUGCUUGGAUUGGUGGAAUUUCAUAAUCGGCAACCUUGAGAAAAUCCUUCUCCCAAACCUCUCCUGAAAUACACCUAGUUCUUUCGUAGGUGUCUGCCUCUGCCGAUGCGAUGACAUAAGAAGAAUCUCCCGGGAUAAUCUCAAUCUUGUCACCUACCCACUGGACCAAGCAUUGGUGCAUUGUAGACGGGAUGCAACAAUUGGCAUGAAUCCAAUCUCUUCCCAACAGCAAGCUAUAAGCCCCUUUUCCACUGAUCACGAAGAAGGUUGUCGGCAAGGCUUUGCUACCGAUGGUCAACUCAACGCAUAUUGCCCCCUUAACUGGAGACACGUUGCCCUCAAAGUCUUUGAGCAUCAUAUCGGUCUUGGUCAAAUCCUGAUCUCCUUUCCCAAGCUUCCGAUACACUGCAUAUGGCAUGAUAUUGAUAGCAGCCCCACCAUCAAUUAAAAUAUUGGUCAUCGGCUGACCAUCCACUCUUUCUUUGACAAACAGAGCCUUAAGAUGUUGCCUUUCAUCAUCGGCAGGCUUCUCGAAGAUGGCCGUCAUCGGAUCCAGAGCCAACUGGGCUAUUUGGUGAGAAAACUCCAACUCAUCAUCACUGGUCGACGCAAGAAAUUCCAUCGGCAACAUAAAUACCAUGUUGACAUCUGCCGAUGGACUUUUUCCAUUAGGAUCUGAUUGUUGCUGAUCCCCAAACUGGUCAUAGUUCUCGCCCUUGUUCAACUCCUCUCGUCUUUCGUGCUGUAGCCUCCUUUUCUGGGUCCUAGUCAACCCCUCUGGACACCAUGGAGGAAGUUGUUGCUGCCUUACCGAUGGGCGACAAUUUUCUCUUGACUCCAUCCGAUAAGUAUUGGCAUCCCUGCAAAAGACGAACUCAUCGGGAACUCGUGCAUUAGCCAUCUCCUCAAGCUCUUCUUGGUUCCUGGGAAAAUAUUCAACACGGUCACCAAGCCUAUCAUGCACGCUGAGCCUGCCCCCCAGCCGAUCAUGAACCGGCGCUCUCCCCCUAAUCGGCCCAUCAAAUCGCCGAUUAUCAUUGUGAUAAGGCCGGUCGGACCUGUCAUACCAAUCGUAACCAUUACAUUCCGGGCAGUCUCUGACAGUAGGAAGCUUGAUAUUUUCCUCCCAACAAUGAAUGAAGAAUGGACAAUUCCAGUGAUCUCUAUGCCGAUUCCACUCCUGUCGGCGUCUUUCUCCCUCCCGAUGGUAGUCUUCUUGCUGGCGCCGAUACCGAUCCUCACGUUGCUACCAAGUUUCCCGAGGCCUUCUGUGAGUUAUCACAAUACCAGAUCGGGGCGGCCUUCCUGAGUUAGUUCCCUCUUGGAUCAAGCCUUUUCCUUUCGCAUCGGCAGUAGUGAUCUGAUGCUGAGGAUCCACCGAUGCACUUCUUUCAGCUACUUCCGAUGUUUAAACCUUGGCCUUUCCCUUAGCAUCCAGCAUGUUUGUUGGGAAAGGAUGUUGAUCAAUCUUCAUCGGCUUCUGAGUUUUGGAGCUGUCAAAUUUGAUCCUUCCAGAUUCUAUAGCCGAUUGCAGCUGCUGUCUAAAAACUUUACACUCAUUGGUGUCGUGAGAAGUUGCAUUGUGCCACUUGCAAUAUUUCAUCCUUUUCAAUUCCUCAGCCGAUGGGAUCACAUGAUUAGGUGACAGCUUGAUCUGACCUUCCUAAAGUAGAAAGUCAAAUAUCCUAUUGGCUUUAGUGAUGUCAAAUGCGAACUUCUCUGGCUCUUUAUGCCCAAAGGGGCAAGACAUCGGCUUCUUAUUCUUCACCCAUUCUGCCAAGCCGAUGACUGGUUCUUCAUCAGAAUCCGAGCUUGCUACUUCAUCUACAAAUGAUACCUUUUUGUUCCAAGCCCUCUUAGACUCAAAAGGCUUGAUAUCUUGAUCAGAAAUCCUUUGAACUAGGUGACUCAGGCUCUCAAACUAUUGAGAUGCAUAUUUGUCCCUGAUAUGUGGCAACAGACCCUAGAAAGCCAAAUUGGCUAGCUGCCGAUCAUCCAAAACCAGACUAUAGCAUUUGUUCUUGACCUCCCGUAUUCUCUGCACAAAACUUUCAACCGAUUCAUCAUUACGUUGCUUCAAUUUGACCAAAUCGGUGAUCUUCUUCUCAUGGACUCCAGAAAAGAAGUAUUUGUGGAAUUGUUUCUCUAGAUCGGCGCAAGUAAUCACUGAGUUGGGAGGUAAUGAUAUAAACCAAGUAAAAGCCGAUCCAGACAAUGAUGACGAGAACAAGGGAACCCUUAACUUGUCCCUGUUAGCAGCUUCUCCACACCGAAUGAUGAACCUGUUGACGUGCUCCAGGGUCGAUGUAUCAUCCUGCCCAGAAAACUUAGUAAAAUCUGGCAGUUUGUACCGAUUUGGAAGCGGGAUUAAAUCAUAUGCAGGAGGAUACGAUGUCUGAUAAGAGUAAGUGUUGACUUUGGGUUUUAUCCCAAAUUGGUCUCUCAUUACUUCAGCAAUCUUAUCGGCCCAAUAAGCGUCGGCAUCUUGCCGAUGAGGCGGUUGCAGAUCUGGGAUCUGGUGAUAUGCCUCCACGUGUCUAUGUGGUGCACGGUCUGCAUGGAACAUUGGCUUAAUCAUCUAGCCACCAACCUGCUGACCACCGAUCUGUUGACCACCAAACUGCUGACCACCAAUCUGUUGUCCGCCAAUCUACUGCCCAAGAUUCAUUGGCUGGUUGGGCAACCCUUGAUUCUGGAACCCAGGGUAGAUCUGGCCUUAUUGAAACCCUGUAGCUUGAUGAUGCUGUUGGGGCAUUUGUGGAAAGACUUGCUGCUCAGGCCAUCCACUAUUAGCUUUCAUCGGCAUAGGACCUGCCGAUGACUGGUAAUUGGGCAUCAUCAUCGAAUUGACAUACCCUGGCUGAGUCAUAAACCUCUGUUGCGUCAGCAUUGAAUCUGCCGAUGCAUUAAGCAUCUGGAAGGUUGGAGCUUGAGAGUUCCCAGUGUAAGGCCUUGCAGUAGUGGUUGUAGUAUACUGGGGACUCUGAUUCAUCGGCAUAUUUAGAGGUGCCGAUGCCAUAGGAGCCUUGCCUCUCACAUCAGCCGUCUGAGAUGUACCAGGUGUCUUCAAUGUGAACUCUGGGGGCAUACCAAAACCCCACCAGUUAGGAGGAGGGACCGGCCCUGACAUUGCCGAUGCCAAUAGAUAUGUAGUAAGCUUAAUCUGCCCAUCUGAGGUCGAUGGAUUGGUUGUCAUCGGCGUAGAUUGUGCAUUAGUGACUCCUAACGUGCUUGGAGGAACGGCCGUUUCUGUGCCCACAGCGGCUGUAGCAGCCGAUGGAGCUGUAACCACUGGUGAUCCUGGCUGAUGAUGAGAAGGGCCCACAUAAUUUGGUGGCAACUGUCCUUCCUUGAAAGUUCUAGCCACGGCAUUGAAAACCGUAUUGGACAUCACACCAGCUUGAUUGAUCAAAGCACGGUUAAUAGCAUUAUCAACCAUAUCUUGAAGUAUACCAGGAUUGGCUUCAAAAGUAUCCUGCCGAGGCAUCGGCAGUGCUUCCUUCUGGAUCACUUCGCCGCUCCUGUUUAUGCUGAAGGCCUUCGCAAUAGCUUGCUUCUGCUCAUCUUUGAGGCUAGCUUCUGUCACGGGGAUGACGUUCUCCAGAUCGAACUCAGUAGUCGACAUGUUGAUCUUGAUCUUGAAUCCGUCCCACCGGGCGUGCCAAAAGAUGUGUUGACGCAAAAGCUGGAUCUGCAAACACAAAGGGCUAAUACCUGAUUUAAACGUUAAGGCGUGCCAGCCGAUUUGACCUUACUAUCGGCAAAGGUGAUAACUCGAAUACUUUGGUCCCGACAACAGCGAUGCGCCCGGAUGCCACGGCCAAGAGGUAUUCACGCGGAACUUGAGAAUACGCCGAGCUUAAGUCGACGAACCCCUAAGAACUCGUAAUGAAAAAGAAAAUAGGACGAAGUCGUCGAAAAAGUAGAUGCUGGAAUAUGAGUAAAAACUUGUGUUUGAUUGAUUGAUUGUUAGGUCGAUUACAAGGCCCUAGGGUCUACCUUUAUACCCUGCUCAAAGAGCUACAAUCAGAUACGACUAGAACUCGAAUUCCAAAUUAAACAGAAUCUGUAUACAAAACGAUUUAAAUAACUAAGGAAAACAUAAAACUAUCCUCCCGUGACAAACUGGGACACCACCACAGGCCAAUCGACAACCUUCUCUUCUGAAUCAUCGACAAACCCCUCAUCAUAGCCAUCGGCACAGGUUAAUGCUGACCAUCGGCAGAAACACAUCACCACCCAUAGACUUAAUCACAUUCAGCUGUCCCUUCAUCGGCAAUCUCCUUCAUCGGCAACUCUCCUACAGACCAGUUACUGUUGCCCAAUCUUGCCGAUCUACACUCUACCGAUCCUGGGCACGUGUCCAAAAACGGUGCCAACACCUUGCCUAAGUCAAGCUACUAGAUCAAAGCCCCUCUUAAUAGUACGGUCAAAGGAAAACAAAGUCCUAAACUACUCUAAGUGCCCUUCUUCACCAUAUGGCACUUAGACCUAGUCUAGUCUUGACGAUGUCCAUCCAUCAUUUGAAAACCGAAACGAUUUCCACUAUUAAGUAGGCAUGUACGUCCCUGUCCAUCGAGUACCUAUUACCAUGACCUUACCUAUGACUUUGCCUCUGCAAAACACACGUUAGUCAUAGUAAUCAACAUUGUCAUUAAUCACCGAAAUCACUAGGGGCCUAGAUGCUCUUUCAAUCUCCCCCUUUUUGGUGAUUGAUGACAAUAACCUCGAGUAUGAAAAGAGUUGAGGUUUUCAAAUGACUUGGUUUCAAUAAGCAUGAUACCAUUAAGAACAAGGGGAUUAGGCAUGCUUAUAUCAACCAAGUCUAACAUCCUGCAUCCAAAAAUGUGAGUGUAGCACAACAGGAUAUAAAAACAAGGCUCAUAAGUACAUCAGAGUAAAACGUGAAAGCGAAAGUAAUAUGAGCCAAACACACGAUAUAAAGAUAUCACAACUAAGCAUGAGUCAUGUCUCACAUGUAUCUCACACAAGUGCAAUGCAUAAAGAUAAACAUGAUGCAUGAUGGAGUAGCACACAAAAGAGUAUAUCAAAAUAACUAAUAAAGCUAAAGCCUCUCUCUAGCCUCUAGCUCCCCCUAACUCUCAUACACACAACUCUCUCCCCCUUUGGCAUCAAGCGCCAAAAACCUAAGAAGACGGAGGUGGAGGCGGAGCAGUGGAGUCCAUCGGCACGGCCUCAAAGCGAACUGCAUCAUCUGAACCAUUGGCCGUCGAGGCGGAGGAGUUGGAGUGACCGUCUGAAGCUGCACAUGCUGGUGAAGCGGUCUGGGUCUACUCUGGAGGCGCUGAAGCUAUCAUAGGCUGUGCGGGCUGCUCAAGUCCUGCUGACGAGGCUGGCACGGACUCGGUCGCUGCAGCUGAAGUCUCUGGCACGGUAGAAGAAGGUGCUAGCUGCUCAGACGAAGCUACAGAUGACGAUAGACGGUCUGUAGUGGUGACAGGAACCAUAAAAGCUGCAGGAGCCUACAGGGGUGGAGGCAUAGGGUCACCAGUCAGAGCAAUGUAGGAGAAGCUGAGGUGCUGGUCUGUCGACUGUUGACGGUCCUUAAGUAUCAAAUUUAAUUAUCAAAUAAAUAAAGAAAAGGAUCCAAAUGAAAUCAACAUCUAGACUUAGGGUUUUAUCUGACAGAAUUCCACGAGUUUUGGUGUUUGUCUAUUUCUGUAGGGAGUUAUCAGGAAAUACAGAAGAAAGGCCCACACGUCGGGAUUACGUAAAGAUAUUAACGUGCCGUGCAAUUAUCUUACAUCUAGAAGACUCCAGAAGCCACGAGACCGAAGCGGAGGCGAAACAGGGCCAGACCCUGGGCGCCCGCCCAGUUGGUCAGGGCGCCCGCCCACCUCCUGAGGCCAAUCAGGACUCUACUUUGCGGGAGAUUUCCACCGACCUAAAGGAUGAAUCUAAACCAUACAAUCUAUGUCGGUUUGAUCCAACGGCCCAUAUUCACAUGAAGGGACUAUAAAACCAGACCCCUGGCCCCUGGAGGAGAGAGCCUCUCAACCCUAAUUCAUUGUUCCAUCAAGGGAGAAGAAGCCUCUGAUCAAGAUUAGAGCCACCACAUCAAUUAGAUAUCUAGAUUAGCAUAGCUACAUAGGAUUAGAACUAGAAGGAGUCAAUCUUCGAUUGGUUUCCGGAUCUGUCAAGAGGAUUCUUGGUAAUUCUCUAAUUGUGCUUCUAAUUGCUUUCUAAUUAUCUUUGUUCUUCAAUAUUAUGAAUAUGACUUUGUUCUACUUCAAUAUAUUGCUUAUGACUUUGCUCUACUUGCUUAUAUUCAAGAUUAUAUUAUUCUUAGUUUCUCAUAUUUAUGUACUUGGCUUAGUUAGAUUAGAUCUAUAUACAUGCUUAGGAUCGUAUAGCGUUUAUCCAUCAGAUCCAUGGGUAAAUGAUAGAUAUUGUGUAGGUGUGGUGCUUAUACCGUAUUUAUCUACGAUUGUACCCAAUAUGCCAGAUCGUGGGGUGGUUCAUGAUAGUGACAGCUUCAUUGAUUCUUAUAUAGUCCCCCUCUCGUGUAUUGGGCUGGCAGAGCAACAUUAUUACAGGGGAGUGAUUGCAAUGUUUCUCAUAUUCCUUGCUAAUAUCACUAUGCAUGGGCGUAGUCUUGUCUCGCGAUGAUUGCUAAGUAUGCUUGCACUAACUAUGAUAAUGCUAGACUAUAUAGUUGAGAAUAACUUAGGGAAUAUUCUUGUAGUUCAUUCUAAUACCAUGCUAAUGACUUUCUAGAGUAUCUAAUUGAGGUGCUUAUCAUAUUUAUCAUGUGGCUAGAUCAGAUUAAUUAUCCUUGUCACUAUUCAUUAUUUCAUAUAUCUUUUAUAUGACACUUAUCCCUAUAUGAUGAGUUAGAUAUAAUGUUCUCAAUUAUACAUGCAAUGAUAGAUGCUCAAUCUCAUAUUCUAUUCUAUAAUCACUAUUGAUGAUUGUUAAUCCCUUCCCAGUGGUAAAAAUAUAAAUAACGAUACCUAGAAUACUUCCCGGUUAAAAUGCUGCAUCAGUAUUAAUCUGUGCGCUUGCAGAUCCCAUUCAUUAUUUAUUUAGAAGAGCAAUUGCAUAUUUCAAUACCGCGUCUCUUAUAUCAUGCUGGGGAUGACAACUUGGCUUAAGUGGUGUGAGGGAUAGGUUUGGCAUUUUUGGCACCAUUACUAGAUUUAGAGAACUUAGUCUACUUUUGGUAAUGAUGUGAAGAAUACCCAACAAGCAUUUUUGGCGCCGUUGCCGGGGAAGGUUGAUUACUAAUCAGGAAUGGAAUAAAAGAUUUUGAGUUAUCAUUCGCAUCACUAAUAUGAUUGAGCUUAUCUAUCUCUCAUACAGUUUUACUCCGAUAUUUUCCUAUUUCAUCUUAUGCAGGGGAAUGUAUGAAUAGAAGACAUCUUCCAGGAAAUUUUGUUGACAAUCUCGAAGCAUUAUUCAAGAAGACGAGAGCCAAGCUAAAGAAAUCAUCAACACUUCAGCAAGAAGCUUCAUCCAAUCAAGAAGAUCACCGGAACUAGUCUUCAGAGUUCGAAGCCAUGGCAAACAAAUCAAUCCACGAGUUCUCAGCUCCCACUACGGACAACAUCCGCACUGGACCUGCUGCAGAGAUCGAUGGCAACUUUGAGCUCAAGCCUAGACUUAUCAACAUGGUGCAAUCCAACCAGUUCUGUGGGAAGGCACACGAAGAUGCUAGUGCUCAUUUACAACACUUCCUAGAGAUUUGCAACACAUUCACCAUAUCAGGAGUUUCCAAAGAUGCUAUACUACUUCGCCUCUUCCCAUUCUCACUGUUAGGAAGAGCGAAGCAGUGGUUCUACGCUACAAAGGAGAAGAAUACUACGUGGGCACUCUGCUCAACAAACUUCCUGGCAAAGUUCUUUCCCAUGGGCAAGACCAAUGCUCUCCGUGGGAAGAUUACGAGUUUUCAGCAACAAAAUGAUGAAUCUGUUCCAGAAGCAUGGGAGCGCUUUCAAGACUACAUCCUAGAAUGUCCCCAUCAUGGAAUGGAGAGUUGGCUAUUGAUGCAGACGUUUUAUCAUGGGCUCGGCAACAGUGCCCGAGAGACCAUCUAUGCUGCAGCUGGAGGAGCAUUUUUAUCACUUACUAUACCACAAGCCACAGCUCUUGUGGAGAAGAUGGCGUCCAACCAAAGCUGGAAUGAAGAGAGGACCCAGACACGCAAGAGAGGUGGAGGUAUGCAUCAGCUGAAGGAGGUAGACAUGCUGUCUGCAAAGCUAGACCUGCUCAUGAAGAAGCUCGAUGAUAGAGCUGGAGAUAAGAAGGAAGUUAUGCACAUCUACGACUCUCACAUGACUUGUGAGGAGUGUGGAGACACUGGACACUCAGACAACCACUGCCCUGAGAUACUUGAGGAUGUGAACUACAUCAACAACAACUACUACUACUACUACAACCGCCCUCAACAAAAUCAAGGUUGGAAUCAACAGAGGCCUAACUACUCAGGUAAUUAUCAAGGUAACAAUUCUUACAACAAUAAUGCUAAUAAUUUUCCACCUUUGAGAGAGUUAGUGUCUAAUCAAGGAAAGCUAAUGGAUAACCUAUCUAAGAAAUUAGCAUCUAAUGAUAAAAUGCUAGAAAAUAUAAAUAAUAGAAUGGAUAAUUUCUCUACUGCCAUCAAGAAUCAAAUUAGCUUUAAUAAAAUGAUUGAAUCUCAGUUAAAUCAAAUAGCUGCUGCUGUUCCUACUACUAACCCCGGUAUACCAUCACAACUGGAAGGAUUAGAAUCUGCAAAUCUUGUAGACACGUUUGAUGCAGGUAAUUGGAGUAACCCCGUCAAUGAAUUCUCUACUGACCUUCUGCCGGUCAAGAGAGGCGAUCCAGGACGCCCCGUCAUCCCGAUCUCCAUCGGCAUGGUGGACGUUCCACAAGCACUCUGCGACUUUGGCUCCAGUGUCAACAUUAUACCCAGGGUACUCUAUGAAAAAUUCUUUACAUAUCCUUUAUUAGAAACAACCAUGUGUUUGCAGUUUGCAGAUCAGACGAUAACUUUUCCAAAAGGAAUAGUGAAGAACCUUUGUGUCCGAGUUGGUACCUUAUAUGCCCCAGCAGACUUCGUAGUGGUAGAGACCGGAAAUGAUGAGAGAGCACCCAUCAUCUUAGGGAGGCCAUUCUUGAACACCACGGGAGCUAUCAUCUAUGCCAGUGCUGCCAAGAUCAGUUUCUACGUCAAAGGGAAGAAGGAGACAUUUUUCUUCAAGAACAAGACUACACAAAUUUCAGAUCAAUCCAGACGUGAAUCAAGGAAAAGAACCAACAGGAGGAACAGGAACAAGCAAGUGUGGACCGAGUCAGCUAAGAUGGUCACUGUAGUUCAUGGAGGCCAAGAUCACCAACUUAAGUCACCGCUUUUGACCAAGAAGGACGACCCAGGAAUGCCAAGCAUUUACUGCUCCAUAAAUAGAUACAACUUCUACAAGACAUUUUGUGACACCGGAUCGGGUGUCAACAUAAUGGCCGCAGUCACCUAUCGGCUCUUGUUCGGGACCAUGCCACUAAGACCAACAUACAUUCAGCUCCAGAUGGCAGAUCAGACAUUUCGAGAAGUUAAAGGAAUAGUAACUGAUGUCCCAGUCAAAAUAGACGAUCACUUUGUCUACACAGACUUUCAAGUUAUUGACAUGGGAGAAGAUGAGUACGAUCCACCCAUCAUCCUUGAAAGACCGUUCCUCAGCACCGUUAAAGCAAUUAUCUACAUUGGAACCGGAGAAGUCCAUAUGCACUUCCCCUCAGAGAAGGUACGCCGUUAUUUUACCGACCCUAACUAUAUCGUUGAAGAAUCUAAGCAGGUCAGAAAGCGACACAACCGCAACCAGAGGAGGCAGAUCAUCAGGGACGGAUGGGCAGACUACGAAGGAGAAGUUGUAAGAUCAGAAGACAUUGAGUUUAAACAGAAUUAUCCAGAGGAGAUUAAAGCACCGAGUCAGGUACGGAAAAUGAAGAUAACUAUACAAGAAGAGGAGGCGCUGCCGGAAGUACCGACUACGCCACCCAACGAACCUCAGGACGAUUAAGAAAAUGGAGAGUCCCGUUCGGAGGACUUAAAAACACCGAACGCCUUGCCAAGAGGUAAACUUGGUAGUUAUCCUUUCCCUUUCAAUUAUUUCAAUUAUUUAAAAUAGUUUACUUAGUUAAUCAUGUUCGUACUAUCUUAAAAAGAAAAUAAAAUAUGAAAAAAUAGUAAGCCCCAUGUGAGUAUACAAGUGGCAUAAAACCCAUAAGUACAUUCACUGUGGUGGCAUAAAAAUAAAAUAAAUAUUUUUCUGCUUUAUAAAAUGAAAAUAUAAAAAAUAAAGAGUAAUAAUUAUUAAGGAGUCUCAAGAUGAUAAAGGCUAGAUAUUUAUGCUAACACUUAAUCAGUUCCACAAGCUUUGUUGUCUAUUUGAGCUCCACAGAAUUUAAGAGUCAAGAAGACUAGUAGACGGAGGACAUUCUAAUCGCUGUCAGAAUGCUGCUGACUUUCAAAUACACCUCUGCGACCUGCUAGCUACAUCAAGAGAAAUUACGUCAAAAUUCAGCUUGGGGGAGAGCACCCUCAUUUAUCUCGAUAAGUAUUUCUAUCUAUCUAUCUUUACACUCAUAUUAUUUUAGAAUAUAAAUAUACAUAACUAUGAAAAAACCAAAUAAAGAUUUUAUGCUUAUUUAUAUAUCUUUUGCUCAGUGUGUUUAAUAAAUAAAUAAAGUAGCUAUGCUAAUCUGUAUCUAAAUAAAACUUAAGCAUGGAUAUGAUGAAUAGUUGCUCUACCUAAUUUGCACAUUUUAAGUUCUCUCUCAAGUUUAGAUAUAACUGUUAUAAUUUAAAGCUUGCUCUAGACCUAAACUUGUGGGAUGGAAACUUGAUCUGAAGUCUAAGUUGUUAACGGAUAUGAUAUGGAAAGGUUGAGCUGCUGUUUAUCUGUUCCUAGAGAUGCUAGAAUUCUGGAGAAUUUUAUCUUUGAAAAUCUUUAAAAUAUUGCAUGAUGAGUUCCUGUAUGAUGAGAGUUUAAAUUCCUACCACAGCCAUAUAUACAUGCUUGCUAGACUUUGAGCCACACAUUUACUAUUUACUGCUUAUGAGCAUUGAGUGUGGUCAAGAUGUGUAGACCCUUAGAAACUUGUCAUGUGGUUAAAUCAAGAUUCACUUGCACGUUCACUCAUAUAUGCUACUUCUACUCCGGAAGUACCAUCAACAUAUAUCCAUCCAUUUCCAUCUCCAAAACCACCUAAAAAUAUUCUACUCCUAAUCCAGGAGAGAAUAACCAAAAAUAUUUUUGUUUUUCCCUUGUGAAAUAAAUGCUCAAGUUAUCUUGUUACUACCACUUGCUAUAUUAUCUCAUGAGAUGAGUGCUCUAAAAAAAAGAAGAGAAAUACGAGGAAAUAAAAAGGAGCAAGUGCUCGGAACCUCGAAAGAAAAGAGAGAGUGAGACGAGAGGUAAAAAUGGACAAGUGUCCGACGGUAGAAUUAGGGGUGCAAGAUACCCACCUGAGAGAAAAGAAAAAGAAGAGCAUCUCAUUCUCCUCAUAAAGUUUCAAAAAAGCAAGGAAGGUAUGUAUCCCCUCAAAGAGCAAAGUACAAUUAGACUUCCUACUCCAUUGUUUUCACCAUUGUUAUCACCAUCAUCACCAUACAUCAUUCAUUCGCCACACAUGCACAUCUUGAUUAAACUCAUUGGCUUGUUUCUUUGGAUCCAUGGUUUGACUAUGCAAUACAUGUCUUGUAAGUAUGUAUACUUUAUUUCCCACCUAUGAGCUCCAGAUAUUAAAGCCUUAUUAGAGUAGGGUGAGAGAGAAGGCAAUGUCACUAUGCCUUAUACCACAAAUACUACAUAUCUUGAGAGAAGGCAUAUACCAUCACUGCCUUGGUAAGGAUCCAGAAAUACCACAAAAGAGAGACCUGAGAGAAUCAUACAAGGAAUCUCUGAGUUUUAUUUGAAUAUCUGCAAAAAAAACCCAGAGCUAUAGCUGAUCAAGAAUAAGAGACAUGGCACUUGACUAGACUGUUCUAUCUUUUAACCACUCAAGACAGAAGUGACAGUUACAAGUCCCAUAGUGAAGGUAAAGUAAGUAAGUUUUAAGCCUUGACAGUUUACUCUAACUUAGAGAUGAGAUCUUAUUUAAAAAGCAUGUGUACCGUCAAUUUUUAAAUAUAUUGCAACAACUUAUGAUCCAUAGCUGAGUCUAUCCUUGCUCAGGGACGAGCAAGAGGUAAGCUUGGGGGAGUUUGUUGACGGUCCUUAAGUAUCAAAUUUAAUUAUCAAAUAAAUAAAGAAAAGGAUCCAAAUGAAAUCAACAUCUAGACUUAGGGUUUUAUUUGAUAGAAUUCCACGAGUUUUGGUGUUUGUCUAUUUCUGCAGGGAGUUAUCAGGAAAUACGGAAGAAAGUCCCACACGUCGGGAUUACGUAAAGAUAUUAACGUGCCGCGCAAUUAUCUUACAUCUAGAAGACUCCAGAAGCCACAAGACCGAAGCGGAGGCGAAACGGGGCCAGACCCUGGUCGCCCGCCCAGUUGGUCAGGGCGCCCUCCCACCUCCUGAGGCCAAUCAGGACUCUGCUUUGCGGGAGAUUUCCACCGACCUAAAGGAUGAAUCUAAACCAUACAAUCUAUGUCGGUUUGAUCCAACGGCCCAUAUUCACUUGAAGGGACUAUAAAACCAGACCCCCUGGCCCCUGAAGGAGAGAGCCUCUCAACCCUAAUUCAUUGUUCCAUCAAGGGAGAAGAAGCCUCUGAUCAAGAUUAGAGCCACCACAUCAAUUAGAUAUCUAGAUUAGCAUAGCUACAUAGGAUUAGAACUAGAAGGAGUCAAUCUUCGAUUGGUUUCCGGAUCUGUCAAGAGGAUUCUUGGUAAUUCUCUAAUUGUGCUUCUAAUUGCUUUCUAAUUAUCUUUGUUCUUCAAUAUUAUGAAUAUGACUUUGUUCUACUUCAAUAUAUUGCUUAUGACUUUGCUCUACUUGCUUAUAUUCAAGAUUAUAUUAUUCUUAGUUUCUCAUAUUUAUGUACUUGGCUUAGUUAGAUUAGAUCUAUAUACAUGCUUAGGAUCGUAUAGCGUUUAUCCAUCAGAUCCAUGGGUAAAUGAUAGAUAUUGUGUAGGCGUGGUGCUUAUACCGUAUUUAUCUACGAUUGUACCCAAUAUGCUAGAUCGUGGGGUGGUUCGUGAUAGUGACAGCUUCAUUGAUUCUUAUAUAGUCCCCCUCUCGUGUAUUGGGCUGGCAGAGCAACAUUAUUACAGGGGAGUGAUUGCUAUGUUUCUCAUAUUCCUUGCUAAUAUCACUAUGCAUGGGCGUAGUCUUGUCUCGCGAUGAUUGCUAAGUAUGCUUGCACUAACUAUGAUAAUGCUAGACUAUAUAGUUGAGAAUAACUUAGGGAAUAUUCUUGUAGUUCGUUCUAAUACCAUGCUAAUGACUUUCUAGAGUAUCUAAUUGAGGUGCUUAUCAUAUUUAUCAUGUGGCUAGAUCAGAUUAAUUAUCCUUGUCACUAUUCAUUAUUUCAUAUAUCUUUUGUGUGACACUUAUCCCUAUAUGAUGAGUUAGAUAUAAUGUUCUCAAUUAUACAUGCAAUGAUAGAUGCUCAAUCUCAUAUUCUAUUCUAUAAUCACUAUUGAUGAUUGUUAAUCCCUUCCCAGUGGUAAAAAUAUAAAUAACGAUACCUGGAAUACUUCUCGGUUAAAAUGCUGCAUCGGUAUUAAUCUGUGCGCUUGCAGAUCCCAUUCAUUAUUUAUUUAGAAGAGAAAUUGCAUANNNNNNNNNNNNNNNNNNNNNNNNNNNNNNNNNNNNNNNNNNNNNNNNNNNNNNNNNNNNNNNNNNNNNNNNNNNNNNNNNNNNNNNNNNNNNNNNNNNNNNNNNNNNNNNNNNNNNNNNNNNNNNNNNNNNNNNNNNNNNNNNNNNNNNNNNNNNNNNNNNNNNNNNNNNNNNNNNNNNNNNNNNNNNNNNNNNNNNNNNNNNNNNNNNNNNNNNNNNNNNNNNNNNNNNNNNNNNNUGUUUUUUCAAAGACAAGGGGUGAGAUUAGGAUCAUUACACAAGCUGUCCUUCUUGAAUGUUGGGUAUUCUUAACAUCAUUACCAAAAGUAGACUAAGUUCUCUAAAUCUAGUAACGGUGCCAAAAAUGCCAAACCUAUCCGUCACACCACUUAAGCCAAGUUGUCAUCCCCAGCAUGAUAUAAGAGACGCGGUAUUGAAAUAUGCAAUUGCUCUUCUAAAUAAAUAAUGAAUGGGAUCUGCAAGCGCACAGAUUAAUACCGAUGCAGCAUUUUAACCGGGAAGUAUUCCAGGUAUCGUUAUUUAUAUUUUUACCACUGGGAAGGGAUUAGCAAUCAUCAUUAUUGAUUACAGAAUAGAAUAUGAGAUUGAGCAUCUAUCAUUGCAUGUAUAAUUGAGAACAUUUAUCUAACUCUUCAUACAGGGAUAAGUGUCACAUAAAAGAUAUAUAAAAUAAUGAAUAGUGACAAGGAUAAUUGAUCUGAUCUAGCCACAUAAUAAAUAUGAUAAGCACCUCAAUUAGAUACUCUAGAAAGUAAUUAGGAUGGUAUUAGAACGAACUACAAGAAUAUUCCCUAAGUUAUUCUCAACUAUAUAGUCUAGCAUAUCAUAGUUAGUGCAAGUAUACUUAGCAAUCAUUGCGAGACAAGACUACGCCCAUGCAUAGUGAUAUUAGCAAGGAAUAUGAGAAACAUAGCAAUCACUCCCCUGUAAUAAUGUUGCUCUGCCAGCCCAAUACACGAGAGGGGGACUAUAUAAGAAUCAAUGAAGCUGUCACUAUCACGAACCACCCCACGAUCUGGCAUAUUGGGUACAAUCGCAGAUAAAUACGGUAUAAGCACCACGCCUACACAAUAUCUAUCAUUUACCCAUGGAUCCGAUGGAUAAACGCUAUACAAUCCUAAGCAUGUAUAUAGAUCCAAUCUAACUAAGCCAAGUACAUAACUAUGAUAAACUAAGAACAAUAUAAUCUUGAAUAUAAGCAAGUAGAGCAAAGUCAUAAGCAAUAUAUUGAAGUAGAACAAAGGCAUAUUCAUAAUAUUGAAGAACAAAGAUAAUUAGAAAGUACUUAGAAGCACAAUUAGAGAAUUACCAAGAAUCCUCUUGACAGAUCCGGAAACCAAUCGAAGAUUGACUCCUUCUAGUUCUAAUCCUAUGUAGCUAUGCUAAUCUAGAUAUCUAAUUGAUGUGGUGGCUCUAAUCUUGAUCAGAGGCUUCUUCUCCCUUGAGGAACAAUGAAUUAGGGUUGAGAGGCUCCCUCCUCCAGGGGCCAGGGGGUCUGGUUUUAUAGUCCCUUCAAGUGAAUAUGGGCCAUUGGAUCAAACCGACAUAGAUUGUAUGGUUUAGAUUCAUCCUUUAGGUCGGUGGAGAUCUCCCACAAAGCAGAGUCCUGAUUGGACUCAGGGAGAGGGCGGGCGCCCAGGGCAGGAGGGCGGGCGCCCUGCCUCUGGCCCCGUUUCGCCUCCGCUUCGGUCUCGUGGCUUCUGGAGUCUUCUAGAUGUAAGAUAAUUGCGCGGCACGUUAAUAUCUCUAUGUAAUCCCGACGUGUGGGCCUUUCUUCCGUAUUUCCAGAUAACCCCCUGCAGAAAUAGACAAACACCAAAACUCGUGGAAUUCUGUCAGAUAAAACCCUGAGUCUAGAUGUUGAUUUCAUUUGGAUCCUUUUCUUUAUUUAUUUGAUAAUUAAAUUUGAUACUUAAGGACCGUCAACAUUGACCACACUCAAAGCAUCUCUUUGGCUUUGGCUUGCUUGGUUGAUCAUGAGUGGCUAGUGACUUGAUGAGCUUUGUUUGAUGAGCCUUGUAGCCAAUCCCACUCUUAUCCAUCUUCAUGACGGUGUUCAUGAAAAGCUCACUUUGAAGGUCCUUCCCUUUUGUGAACUUUGCUAACCCCAUGGUUAGAUGUUCCUUCUCUUUCUUGAGCUUGUUAUUCUCUUGAGUUAGCUUCUUGAUGAUUGGGUCAUUGUUGCUAGCUAACUCAUCCAAGAUGAAUGUCUCAUCUUCUUCUUGGUUGUCAUACAUCAAACCAAGCUUGAGAUAUUGAUUUUCUUCCUUGAGUAACUUGUUCUCAUAUGCAAGCUUCUUGUCUUGAUCAAGUGAUUCAAUCACAAUGGUCUUGUGCUUGGCUUGAUCUUGCAACUCUUUCUUGAGCAUGACAAUUUCAUCUUUGAGCUUGAUAGUGUCCUCAUAUCUCUCGGCCACUACCACUUUCUUGCCCUCACAAUCAACACAUUUGCUUGUGCUCUCCACAAGUAAGUCAUCACAAGAUGUAGCUACAUCAAGCUUAGCAACAUGGUUAGUAGCAACAUGUGUUUCAUCAAUUGCAAGUUCAUAUGCUAUCUCAAGGUUGUCAUAGUUUGCUUUUAGAGUUGUUAGCUCUUCUUUCAUUGCUCUAUAUCUAGUGAUAAGCUCAUCAUGAACACUCUCAAGUUUAUCAUGUUUUUCUUUGAGCUCUUUUAAAGAGAGUUUGAGCUCCUUCAGCUUAGUGGUCAUGAUCUCAUUUUGGUCUCUAAGCUCAUUACUAGGCUUUAGCUUAGCUAGAAGAGUUUCAUUUUCAAGUUCAAGCUUUUCAUUUUCACUUCUUGAUUUUCUUAUGACUUUUGUGUACUUGUUUAGCAAUUUUACAAGUUCAUCAUAAGAUGGUGAUUCACAGUGGCGGAGCUCGUCAAUUUUGACGUCUAGGGCCACUAAUAAAGCACACACACCGUUUACGUUGAAUCAAGAUAUCAGUUGUACCAAGUCUAAUACCGAUAGAUAACAAAAAUAGCUUAUAAAUACAUAGUUCGAGAUAAAAAUCUUAAUUUUAAACUUAAAUCCAUAACAUGAAAGUGGAUAAAAAUCUUAAUUUCAAACGUAAAUCCACUCGCGCUCGGCCAUCUAGGGUGCGUUUGGUUGGAGAGCGUGGAAGAGGGAUGGAAUAACUAUUAUUGAGUUUGGCUGGAAUGAUAGAAUUAUGUCUUUGCUAAUAACUGCAAAGAAGGACGUGUUUAGCUAGAAAACAACAACAAAGCCAACCACGAUGCCCUGGAGUACACUAUGAGCUAGGAUUGAAAACGUGAGGGAACCAGGAAGGAGUAACACACUACAAAGCGGGCACAAGCAAGAGAUGAGAGAGGAUGAUCGAGGCAGUCUAUGGUGAUGAAUAUAAUCCAAAAAAUUAAAAACGAGUAUUAAGAAAUUUUGGUCCACAAGUAGGGCCAAGGCCCUAGUGGCCCUAGGUGGAGAUCCGCCCCUGGCUUGGGGCUUCUAUAAAUAGGCCUUGGCCGGUUCAUGCUGACUCUCUUGACUCUCUAACUUGUUGAUACAUCUUGUGAGCAUACUCCCACACAUACCACUCAUCGUGUUCAAGAUUUGAUCAUCCAAAGUGAGAUUGGAAGAGAUCCUAGUUGCAUUUGCUUAGAGUUUGAGCAUCUAGUGGCACUAGUGAUCGUUGAGCAGCGGGUUUGCUUGUUACUCUUGGUGGUUGCUGCCACCUAGAUGGCUUGGAGCUACGGAGGAGCUUUUGGCAUGAGUUGAUGUUUGUUUGUGGCCAUCUCCCGGUGAUUGUGAGGGGUCUUGUACCUUCCCCGACGGAGAGCCAACAGGUAACUCUAGUGGAUUGCUCGUGUCAUUGAGUUACCUCACUUGUGGGUCGGUUCUUGCGGUGUCCUAGUGAGGAUGAGGUUCGUGCUACACCUCUUAGCCGUCGAACCACCAAGUGUUGGUCGACACAACAGGGACGCAGCAUGCCGGCAAGCACGUGAACCUCAGGAGAAAAUUGUUUGUUUCCAUUGUGAUUGUUCAUUGGAUUUCUCCCGGUGAUUGGACGUCAUAUUAUUGAUUGGUUCAUCCCCUCUUCGCGGUGGUAUAAAGAUCAAACCUUCUCUUUUACAUACCCACGAACUAGAGUAGCUUACUUACUUGUAUAGAAACUUGUAGAUAGCUCUCUAGNNNNNNNNNNNNNNNNNNNNNNNNNNNNNNNNNNNNNNNNNNNNNNNNNNNNNNNNNNNNNNNNNNNNNNNNNNNNNNNNNNNNNNNNNNNNNNNNNNNNCGAACGGGGCCAGAGGCAGGGCGCCCGCCCUCCUACCCUGGGCGCCCGCCCUGACCUGGAGUCCAAUCAGGACUCUGUUUCUCGGGAGAUCUCCACUGACCUAAAGGAUCAAGGAUAACCGUUCAAUCUAUGUCGGUUUGAUCUGACGGCCCAGGUUCACUUGAGGGGACUAUAAAACCAGACCCCCUGGCCCCUGGAGGAGGCACCCCUUGAUCAUUAUUCAUUAUUCAUAGACAGAGCAAAAGCUAGGGUUUAGAGAUGAGAGCUCUCCUCUCUUCUCUAAACUAGAGUAGAUCUAGAUAGUAGCGAGAUGGAGAGCGAAGGAGGAUUAGAGGAGAGGCUGGCCUGUCGGUUCUUCCUCCGGUUGUACUUCGUCAUGAUCAAGCUCUAAUCAAGCUUGCUCAUGGGAUGACACUAGUAAUCUACUUCUAAUUCAUUAUGCAAUUACUAAUCAUGUAUGUUCUGGUUCACAACCCUUUUGAGUACUUCUAAUCUAUAGGACGCUAUAGGUUAGAGUUGUAGUAUAGGUGUAAGCGUGGUGCUUAGACCCAGAUUACUUGUGGAUAUCCCCUGUCUAGCUGGAUCGUGUGGUAGGCCGCGUAGGUGACUGUUACGUUGGUCCUCUGUAGUCCACCUCUCGUUAGUAGGACGGGUAGGGUUUAUCGACCUAUGGAUAAGCAUCCUUUGUGGUGUAAUCUUAUCACGUGGUUCGUCCUAGACAUAGACAUACCCCUUUGAAGUAGAGAAACCAUAGUUAUCCUCUCUAUUCUGCUACCAUCGCCCAUAUACUAGAUUGCUCUAUUCUCUAUUCCCAUAUUAUCACUCACAGUUAUCUUACCUUUAAUAUUGUUCUUAUUCGAUUCUACCAUCUUUCCUAUUUACACCUAUUUACUUAUCUUGGUUAAGUUAGAGCAUAGAUCAGUUCUCUCGUUUCCCUGUGGAUACGAUAAAACCUUUAACCGGGUAAAAGCUUCAACAGUAUCCGUGUGCUUGCGGAUUAUCUGUGUGCGUAUAAAUACCAUAGUACACUCUAGUGCCAUGCUAGGGAUGACAACCUAGUAUUCAAGUGGUGUUAGCAAGUGUCAACAAGCAUUUUUGGCGCCGUUGCUGGGGAAACGGUUGCUGAGUUGACUACGAACUAGCUUAAUCAUUUUCUAAAAAAAAAUAAAAAAAAUUUCCUUUUUAUCCUUUGCCUCAUCUCUGCUAUUCUUUCUUCUUAUCUAAUCCUUGAUCUCUAGUAUAUCAUGAAUUCAAACAUGUCUAUCUUUGAAUUUCAUAGACCUACAGGCACACAUCUUGAACCACCAAAAUCUUCAAAGCCUAUCAUAGCAUCUAGUUUUGAGAUAGACCCCGAAUACAUAGAAUUUGUUCAAAAACAACCUUUCUCAGGAGAAGGUGAGGAAAACCCAUACACACACCUAAGAGUGUUUUAUAGAGUCUGUGACCUCCUUCGCAUAGAAGGCAUGUCCGAUGAGACCCUUAAAUGGAAGCUCUUUACGUUCUCUUUAAUGGGAAAAGCUAGACAUUGGUAUAAACUCAAAGUAGGGAGUGUUCAUGGAGAUUGGAAGGAGUUACAUAGUAGUUUUCUUUCUAAAUAUUUUCCAAUCUCCAAAGUGGCGGAACUUCGGCGUGAGAUUAUUUCUUUUAGACAACUGAAGAAGAAUCUCUUAGGAAAUCAUGGGACCGCUUCAUUAACCUUACUCUCACUGGCCCAAAGAUUUCUAUUCCUGAAGAAGUUCUUCUAAUCCACUUUUUUGAGGGCCUUAGUGGGGAAAAUAAGCAAACCUUGAAUACAGCCUCUAGAGGAUCCUUCUAUCACCUACCUGCUAGUGAAGCUUGGAAUUUGAUUGAUUUAUUAAGUGGAAAGUCUCCUGGCUUUUAUAUCCCUGAGAAAGAGACAGAACCAGUUCCUAGACAAGAAGAAGAAGUUUCGAUAGCCAGAUCACAACCACUUCAAUCCCAAACUUUAGCUAUCGAUCCUUAACCAUCAAUACCCCAAAAUUCUCCAAGGGAGGAAGGAAUUCCGACCUUAAAUCUUUCAGAUACUGAUGGUUUAGACUUCUGGUUCCAUAAGAGACCUUCAAGCAGGGAUAAUUCAAAUCCUCACAAUAAUGUUUCUCUUAGAGAAUGUCCUGGUUCCUAUUAUGAAGAAGUCGAGGAUGACAUAUCAAGUGAAGGAUAGCUAAGCCAUAUAGAAAAUUCUAUCUGAUCCCCUUCCUUGUUCACAAGUUCUAAAUCCAUCCUUAACCUUAGAGAUCCCUCUUAUCCCUCUUCUUUUCAGUCUCAUGAUCCUAGCAAUUCACCAAGACGAUCAAACCAUAGGAUUCAUAAAGACCAUGAGGAUGACAUGUCAAGUAAUGUCAUAGAAGGAGAGCUAAGCCAUAUAGAAAAUUCUAACACCUCCCCUUUCCUGAUCACAAGUUCUAAAUGGCUAGAAUGUGUAGAAUGGAUGGAUAAGGAAGAAGCCUUAAUGGAUUCAGACUUUGGCUCAAUUUCAAAUGGUGAGUUCUUGACUCCCUUUGAAGAUGGGAUACAUUCAACUAUAGAAGAGGACAUAAGUGAGACCAAUCUAAGAGAAACUCUGAACAUUCAGAUUGGAGACGAAGAUAACAUUAAUGAGCAUGGAAUUUAUUUCAUAGCCACUUUGUUUACUCCAUGCUCAUAUGCAACAUCUUCCCAAUCUAUUGGUCUCUCCAACAUCACCACAUUUGAGAUCUCCAACCCCCUUUUCCUUUCUAUUUAUAAAAACUUUAAAAGGGCGGUUGUCGAUGCAUAUGUCUAUAAUAAAUAUUGCAGAUCUCGUUGAGUUGAUCUUGAUAUAGGUCAGUGUUGGAAGGGAAACCACUUCGCCGACAUAAAUUGAUGGUUUCCCAAGGACAAGCUUAGUGUCCUAAAAAGCACUGAUCAGAUCAUAACAUGAGUUUGUAAUUAUUUGCAACAUUACCUUGUGUAUUGAGCAUAUAAGGAUAAUUGUAAAAAUAUUCCUUUGGGUAUUCUUGUCACUAACCUUUCUAGGAUUGGAACAAGAAGAUCAGAUGAAUGACAAGCAAGUACAAGGUAUGUCCAACCAAUCAUCAUGCAACACUGAAUUAAAUUCAUCCAAACUUGAAUUCUGCAAAAUUCAAGCUUGGGGAGUACUUUACAUAAAAACAUCCUUUGCCAUGUUGCUAUGUUGGUUGUCCCUACCUUUAAGAUAUGCUCAAUUUGUUAAAUACUAAUCACACUACUUCAUCUCCACUUGAGUAGAUCUCUAUAAAUGUUGUCAGGUUACCUUUGUCUAUUUACUAGUAAGUGUUAGUUUGGAAGUACUGCACAUACUUCUAUUGGCUUUUAAACUAAGCAUGGUGCUUAGGUUAAACAACCUUCCUUAAUCUGAUUAGACAUGGAGUCUAGUUCGGUUAUUGAACUAAAAACUGCUUGUGUAGACAUUGGUAUAUUUUUGUCAGACUAACCCCUGCAGAAAAACUUUCAAUAUCGAUUUGGGAAGUCCUGAGAUAAACUCACAUCAGAGACGAAGAGAGUGUCAUAUGAAGUUUAACAAUUUGCACAAAAAGGACAUAGCUCAUUCAUCAUAGAGAGAUGAUCCAUGGAGGGUGCCACAAACACGAUGCACAACCGCUAAGAAAGGAAAGCUUCCACAAGGUGAUACUGUACCAUCACUCUUCAAGCAAGGUAACAUCUUAAGGUACUUGACUAUCACUUUUAUAAGCUUCUCCUUGGUUCUGGCAUUCAUAUAAAUAAAAGAGACAAACAUGUAUGAUUUACAACUCUAGAUUAACCAACCCAACUGAUUCAACAUGUUUAGUCCUUUAAUCCUUGUUCUUAGUACUACCUCCAUGAUCCCACACUCCUAAUCAUAUGAGCUAAAAUGUUACACAUUCAAUCAUUGAGAGAUAUAAAGAAAAAGACAUACACAUAGAUAGAUUAUCUUUCCAUAAGGUUGAGCGAUCUGAUCUGACAAAUGUUAUAAGUGCUACACUCAUGAACUUUUCAUCCAUCAACUUUGUCUUGCUCACUAUGCUUAGGGUUAGAGAAGAACAAAUACACUUUAGGUUCUGUUGGUGUUUUCUACCAACAGGACCCAUGCACUUGAUCUCUGCCUUGUCUCUAUGAGCAGGUACACUUCGAGAAAAACACGGAGGAGUUUUAUAACUCUCAGACUCUACCAAGUGAAGGACCUGGAUCUACGAGCACAAACACACUGAGCAGGAUACUGCCAACGCUGCACUUCGAACUGCUGGGCAAACGAAGACGUGCGCACCUGAAUCAAAUGACGCACCUGAAGAAUGAACACAGUUAGAAGUCUUGUUAAGAAGACUUAAAACAUUGAACCAUCGCCGAAAGGUAAGAUCGGUAGUUAUCCAUAUUUACCCUUUCUGCAUUCCCUUUUCCCUUUAAUUAUUUAUUUUCCUUAAAUAGAUUAUUAGUUAAUCAUGCUAUCUUGAAAACAAAAUAAAAAUGUUAAAAAAUACUAAGCCCUAUGUGAGUAUACGAGUGGCAUAAAACCCAUAAGUACCUUCACUGUGGUGGCAUAAAAAUAAAAUAAAUAUUUCUUUUCUGCUUUAUAAAAUAAAAAUAUAAAAACAGGGAGUAAUAUUUAUAGAGGAAGCUCAACAUAGGCUAGAUAUUUAUGCUAACACUUAAUUAGUUCCACAAGCUUUGUUGUCUAUUUGAGCUCCACAGAAUUUAAGAAUCAAGAAGACUCGCAGACGGAGGACAUUCUAAUCGCUGUCAGAAUGCUGCUGACUUUCAAAUACACCUCUGCCACCUGCUAGCUACAUCAAGAGAAAUUACGUCAAAAUUCAGCUUGGGGGAGAGCACCCCCAUUUAUCUCGCUAAGUAUUUCUACCUAUCUUUAUACUUAUAUUAUGUUAGAAUAUUAAAAUACAUAAACUAUGAAAAACCAAAUAAAGAUUUUGUGCUUAUAUAUAUAUCUUUUGCUUAGUGUGUUUAAUAAAUAAAUAAAAUGGCUAUGCUAAUCUGAAUCUUAAUAAUAAAACUCUAGCAUGGAUAUGAUGAAUAGUUGCUGUGCCUAAUUUGCAAAUUUGAAGUUCUCUCUCAAGUUUAGACAUAACUGUUAUAAUUUAAAGCUUGCUCUAGAUCUAAACUUGUGGGAUGAAAACUUGAUCUGAAAUCUAAGUUGUUAACGGAUAUGAUAUGGGAAGGUUGAGCUGCUGUUUAUCUGUUCCUAGAAAUGCUAGAAUUCUAGAGAAUUUUAUCUUUGAAAAAUCUUUAAUAUAUUGCAUGAUGAGUUCCUGUAUGAUGAGAGUUUAAAUUCCUACCACAGCCAUAUAUACAUGCUUGCUAGACUUUGAGCCACACAUUUACUAUUUACUGCUUAUGACCAUUGAGUAUGGUCAAGCUGUGUAGACCCUUAGGAGCUUGUCAUGUGGUUAAAUCAAGAUUCACUUGCACGUUCACUCAUAUAUGCUACUUCUACUCCGGAAGUACCAUCCACAUAUAUCCAUCCAUGUCCAUCUCCAGAACCACCCAAAAAUAUUCUACUCCUAAUCCGGGAGAGAAUAGCCAAAAAUAUUUCUAUUUUCCCUUGUGAAAUAAAUGCUCAAGUUAUCUUGCUACUACCACUUGCUAUAUUAUCUCAAGAGAUGAGUGCUCUGAAAAAAAAGAAAAGAAAAAAAAAUAUAAACGAGGAAAUAAAAAGGGGCAAGUGCCCGGAGCCUCGAAAGAAAGAAAAAGUGAGACGAGAGGUAAAAAUGGACAAGUGUCCGACAGUAGAAUUAGGGGUACAAGAUACCCACCUGAGAGGAAAGAAAAAGAAGAGCAUCUCAUUCUCCUCAUAAAGUUUCAAAAAGCAAGGAAGGUAUGUAUCCCCUCAAAAGAGCAAAAGUAGAAUUAGACUUUCACCAUUGUUAUCACCAUCAUCACCAUACACCAUAUCAAAUUUAAUUAUCAAAUAAACAAAGAAAAGGAUCCAAAUGAAAUCAACAUCUAGACUUAGGGUUUUAUCUGACAGAAUUCCACGAGUUUUGGUGUUCGUCUAUUUCUGUAGGGGGUUAUCAGGAAAUACGGAAGAAAGGCCCACACGUCGGGAUUACAUAGAGAUAUUAACGUGCCGCGCAAUUAUCUUACAUCUAGAAGACUCCAGAAGCCACGGGAAGGAAGCGGAGGCCGAACGGGGCCAGAGGCAGGGCGCCCGCCCUCCUGCCCUGGGCGCCCGCCCUGACCUGGAGUCCAAUCAGGACUCUGUUUCUCGGGAGAUCUCCACCGACCUAAAGGAUCAAGGAUAACCGUUAAAUCUAUGUCAGUUUGAUCUGACGACCCAGGUUCACUUGAGGGGACUACAAAACCAGACCCCCUGGCCCCUAGAGGAGGCACCCCUUGAUCAUUAUUCAUUAUUCAUAGACAGAGCAAAAGCUAGGGUUUGGAGACGAGAGCUCUCCUCUCUUCUCUAAACUAGAGUAGAUCUAGAUAGUAGCGAGAUGGAGAGCGAAGGAGGAUUAGAGGAGAGGCCGGCCUGUCGGUUCUCCCUUUGGUUGUACUUCGUCAUGAUCAAGCUCUAAUCAAGCUUGCUCAUGGGAUGACUCUGGUAAUCUACUUCUAAUUCAUUAUGCAAUUACUAAUCAUGUAUGUUCUGGUUCACAACUCUUUUGAGUACUUCUAAUCUAUAGGAGGCUAUAGGUUAGAGUUGUAGUAUAGGUGUAAGCGUGGUGCUUAGACCUAGAUUACUUGUGGAUAUCCCCUGUCUAGCUGGAUCGUGUGGUAGGCCGCGUAGGUGACUGUUACGUUGGUCCUCUGUAGUCCACCUCAAGUAGGGUUUAUCGGCCUAUGGAUAAGCAUCCUUUGUGGUGUAAUCUUAUCACGUGGUUCGUCCCAGACAUAGACAUACCCCUUUGAAGUAGAGAAACCAUAGUUAUCCUCUCUAUUCUGCUACCAUCGCCCAUAUACUAGAUUGCUCUAUUCUCUAUUCCCAUAUUAUCACUCACUGUUAUCUUACCUUUAAUAUUGUUCUUAUUUGAUUCUACCAUCUUUCCUAUUUACACCUAUUUACUUAUCUUGGUUAAGUUAGAGCGUAGAUCAGUUCUCCCGUUUCCCUGUGGAUACGAUAAAACCUUUAACCGGGUAAAAGCUUCAACGGUAUCCGUGCGCUUGCGGAUUAUCUGUGUGUGUCUAAAUACCAUAGUACACUCUAGUGUCAUGCUUGGGAUGACAACCUAGUAUUCAAGUGGUGUUAGCAAGUGUCAACACUUAGCAACUAGAAUUGUUGAGUAGGUGGCUUGCAAACACCCCUUUAGAGCUAGAGCAAAAAGCUUUGCUUUGUUAUUUACUAACCUUUUAAAUUGGCUAUUCACCCCCCUCUAGCCAUAUUAGGACCUUUCAAUAGGCAAUAAGUUUGUCUCUGUUAUUUCAUGCCUAUGACAUUAGAUAUUUUAUUUUUUAAGAUUUCCAAUGAAUUGAUGUCCCUAAGGUUGGUCUCGUCUAAAGCUUUCUCUAAACUUGGGUGAGUUAUGUUUACUAAAGAAACUGAUUUAAGCUCAACAUUUGAAUUUAGACCAAGUUUAGAUGCUAGUGCUAAAACUUCAUCUUCUUCCAUCCAUUCUUUGACAAUACCAUAUGUAUUUCUAAUAUGUUCUACGUGUUCCUGCUAUUGUCGUUGCUCUUUUUGGGUAUUCCUAUAAUUUUCAUGACUCAUAUUCUUAGAAUGUCUUGAUGGAUUCCUAGAGUUAUUAUGAAGUUUAGUAGAUGGAGCAUAAAAAGAUUUAUUGCGGUAAAGGAUGGGUUUAGAGAUAGGUUCAAAGAAAUUUAAUAUGGGCAUAGAAGGGGAGUAGAUAGAAUUUGUUUCUAAGUGGCUUGGCUCUCAUUCUAUGGCAUCACUUGUCAUGCCAUCCUUGAAUUUGUUCUAAUGUCUUUUUAGGAAGGAAAGGAAGUUAAUGAUGCUUUUUUCUAAGAUCUCUCUUAUUAUAAGAUCUGACAUGCAUUGAUUUAGGAACAUCUUAGCUAAUUGGAAGUCUAAAUCAUUGAUUUGGAACUUUAAAGGUUUAGGAUUGAUAGCUAAAUAUUAAGAAUGAUGUGAUUGUAUUUUAGUUAUCAAGACUUUUGUUUUUAGUUUAGAUAAUAAAUCAUUUUGUUCUUUUGGGGAGUUCAGAAAUAGCCAGAGCAACUCUUUUGAGCAAAAACUCUUUCUUUAAAAGAUAAGAAAGGCUUCCCGAGAAGAUAAAUCAAGGGAUUCCUUGUAACUCUUGGUAAGAUCCGAAUGUCGAAUAAACAUGGGGCCUACCAAACCAAGGUUAGGAUUAAUGAUCCCAUGAUAUAUUUGAGAAGGGCUUAUUAUAUUAUGUAGACAAUGGCAUAGCUUAUAGAUGAUAAGGUUUAUGCUUUAAGCUUUUGCACAUGCCAUAAAGAAAAUAGCAAUAGAAUUAAAAGCAUUCAUAAGGAUUAACAUAGAAAUAAUGAAGAGAAUAGGACAAAACAUGAAAACACAAAAGUAUAAUACAAGAUUAAGCUAAACUAAGUCAAAAUCUGCAAACCGUUCCUCGGCAAUGGCGCCAAAAAUGCUUGUUGGAAGUAGGCUAUUCAACAACGAAGAUGCCUGGGACUUCCUCUAGCAUCUUAGAGUAGCCCAAAACCUUAACUUCGAGGAGUGCAAGAGGUCCCAUCACUUCCUGGAGCAACAUAACGCUCUGGCGGUGGUGUUGGAGAACACUGAGGGGUCCUUGGCCUGAACCAAGGAAUAUUUAGGAGAGUCCAACAAUGCAGUCAUUAGUAAGUAUAUCUCCUCUGCAUUCUUUUAGUUGAUUGACUUUUUUGCUGAUACAUCUGUUUAUUUUGUUGAUCAUAGGACUCCAAGAGUAGUUCAACACACUCACCCCCGCCAUCAACGCAGUCACUAGAAUGGUGAAUGCACACAAGGAGACCCAGGAAAAGCAGCUUCAGGAUGUCCACAACCACAUCAGGAGGUCGCUCUCUAUGGCGUUUGCUCAGGAGCAGCGAAUGCACUGGCAGCAGCCUAGCUUCGCUAUGGGGCCUAGCUCUCGAAGUAUCUGACUUCAAACUUCGGCAAGGAGGGCAACGACGAAGGCUUUGAGGAGCUGAUGGAGGAGUUUGCCACUUGCACCGAUGUACUGGCGCAGGUCUAAUCAGCCGAACACAUCAUCACCCGUGUCUUUGACGAUGAAGAUUAGUUCAAGGUUAUUUUUUAAUUUUAGUUGAUGUAAACUCUCCCCAUGAACAAUAACACUACUCAUGGAAGCAGUUUUAUCUUAUUUUGUAUUCAUCGAUCAAGUGUCUAUUAUCUCUGUGAUAUUGUCCAUCCAAGCAAUCCAAUAUGUUUCUGAAACAACAAAAAGUCCAUUUCCAUUCUUGAUUUUUGCUCUUAAGGUGAUACUUAUCGUAUUGGCUUUAUUCAGUUACAACUCUAAAUUUUAUACUAAAGGCAAUAUUUGUUGUAUCGGCUAUUUCAACUGUCAAAAUCUCUAAAUUCUAAUACUGAAGGUGAAACCUACCGUAUUUGCUAUCUCUAGUCAGCUAGUACACUAAAUUUCAUGCUAAAGGUGAUACUUUACAUAUCGGCUAUCCAAAAUUCCUCCUAACUGUCUUGAUCAAUCAGAGUAGAUCAACCCAAACAUUAGGGUAAUACUUCUUGAAAUGCUUCCCAUUGACAGCUCUGGAAUAUUCUUCUCUAUCACACCCAUAUUUCAAGAACAAAAUAGGAUGCGUAAAAGACUCAUGUGCGCCCCAGAAACAGUUGCACACAUAAGUAGAGAAAUCUCAAGAGUAUCAAUGCAGUGUUUAUUACAUAGAAGAACAAUAAUAAUCACAUAGUCUUAUACAAUAAUGAUAAAUAACAACAAAUAAACUCUCUUGACGGAAGCAUCACACAGGGACAAACGUUGACUGGUUGACUUCGAAUAUAAUACUCAUAUCGAUAGUCCUCAUUCUAAUCAUCAUCAUUUGUAUAACCUGAGGUGUUGGGAAAUUUUAAGAGUGAGCACAUAUCGUACUCAACAAGUAUAACCAGGGGUUCAUGAGGCUCAAAUAGCUGACACUGGUUUAACUACAUUUAGCUUUUAUAUAUAGAUAGCAUGUUCAUAAUUAAAUAGCAAGUGUCAAGGUAGCAUAAAUAAUCCCAUAAUCACAUGAUCAAAUGUAAGCAUAAUUAAAUCAUAGCAUAAAGAUAAACAAAUCAACAUAAUAACAUAACAAGCUCAUCAUCUUAAUGUAGAUGCCCCCAAGGCCGCUCCUGACCGUGAGCUCGGCUAGUAUACUAGUUUUAACACUCUGCAGAGGUUGUACAUCUUUACCCAUGUGUCAUGAUUUACCCUUACGCUUGAGGUAGCUAAUCUCUUAACCCCCUUCCCAGGGAGGUCGGCAGGGAUCACUAUGAAGCCUUUCAAAAGUUUGUCUAACAUGUUAGGGCCGCAAGGUUUCCCGGGCGAGCAGAUAUAGAGCCCCCAUUCUAAAUGGCAUAAUGACAUGCAUCCUAUACACAUAAGGACAGAGGCUCGCACUAUACCCUUGUCAGCAAGCACCUCUAGCGCCCUUAUGGGUAACCUCUAACAAGCUAGAAAAGGUCCUCAUACUAAGCUAAAGCUGGAGCCAUUAUAGCCCGCAUGGUUGCACUGUUAUCCCGGGUGAUCACGUUCAGAUAAGAUCCCAUACAGUUAUUGCCAUCUUUUUAUGUUUAUUGCAUGCUAUUAAUCAUCUUACAAGAUCAUGGAUUACAUUAAGCACUAGCAAAACCGCACCAAAUGCAUAUCAAAUAGGUAACAAGGAAGUCAAGGUAACAAUCAUCUAUGAUUUUGCGAAGGUCGACAAGGUGGACAAAUGCAUAUGAUAUAUAUUGUAUUAAUUGUGUGUAGGUAACAAGGAUAGUCCCAAGUUAUACUUGUCUUGAUCAAAUCUCUCCUGAGGCGGCUGCUGGUCAUCAAAGGCUUGGUCUUGCUCACCAACGUACGGCUCACCGUCUAUUCCGAAUCAUCAAUCAACAACACGCAUUCUAAUAGAGACAAUCCUACACAAAGCAAACAAGCUAUAAUUAGAACAUUACACCAACAUUGAUAAAACAAAUAUAAAAGUUUAUAAAAAUAUUCUACGCUGCGCUACGAUCACACAAACGUAAAGUUAAGACAAUCGGAAUUAAAACGUAGAAGUUAUAAAUUUUCUAAUAUUUCCUAUAUAAGAAUAAAUAAUUAAAUGCUACUGCAAAAUUAAAAAGUUUCAAACCAGUGAAACAGUACCACUAACACGUAGAGCUCGCAAUAACGAAUCUAACGGAAUAUGAUUGAACCAAAACAGAGUUAAAAUGAUUAUUUUAUGAGCAAAUUAAAUUCAAUGGCAAACUAGUAAAUAUCUAAAAACGUAUUUGAACACAACCGACGAGGAAUACGCUUUCGGAGUUGAAAAGCGUAAUUUUCCCAGAGCGCCAUGGACAGCGGGUUAGCACUCAGAUUUUACAGGGUUGCUUUAGCAAUUUUUCCCCCGAAGAGGUAUCCUUCAUUGCUGGUCGUCGGAUCACGAUUGAAUGGCUCGGAUUAGACCUGGGGAAAGAGAGAGAGAGAGAUGCCCCGGCCAGAACAGUGUGUUUGGCACGGCGGCUCCAUGGUUGGCAUGAAGAGACCUCGCCGGAGUUAGCCGUUUUGACGAUUGAGACCAUGAUUCGACAAAAUAAAAACACGAAAGCAAAGAGAAACUCCCCGAGAGCUCACCUAGGGUAGAAUCGAGAGUAGGAAGGACUUGGGCAAGGCUGACGUCGGAAAAUGGCGGCCGGAACUCCUCCUGCAAGUUCGGCAGCCGCACAAGAGCAAAAGGGUGCGGUAGAGAACGAAAGGGGAUGCUCAGAAACUCCGUUACCCCUACCUGGAGCUCAGCACGAUUGUUGGGUAUUUUAAACGCAAACAGAAAAAUCCGCAAGCGCACGGAUACCGAUGUAGCUUUCACCCGGGAGUAUUCCAAAGUAUCGAUUUUCCACAGAGAACGUGAGUGUACUAAUUAAGAUCCAAGAUCGCCCAAGGAUAACUAUAUAAUUAUUUUUGGUGGAAAGAGAGGAAGUUUCCUGAGAGUUCUCUAGUUGAUCUAAGAAUCAAGGAUUACUUCAAGAUUAUCUAUAUCGGGACAUCAGAGCACUAACCACAGAAAGAGAUGAGAAGGGGGCUAGGAAGGUCUGACUACGGUCCUACAAACACCGAUCCGAACGUGGUGGAAUACGUCGACCGUUAGGGCUGUCACUACCCUAAGGCUACCACAACAAUCCGCAGGAUUGGGUGCAAUUCCAGGUAAUCGCAAGACUAAACACCACGUCUAAUCUAUUAAUUACUACUCUAGCGUUAUAAAGACUAGAGCACUUGAUGCAAGCGGGAAUCCAAUAAAUAACUUGAAUGUAAAUAAAAAUAAUUAGAGAACUCAGGAGUUAUGAAUUGAAGAACCUGGAGAACGAUGAAGAACGAACCAGUUGCUGCAAAAGUACAAUGUUGAGGAAGAUCCGACAGAUCCGGCUCUUCCUCCGCUCUCCUCUUCUCUCUCCCUAUUUUCUAGAUUACAACUAGAACUAACUAGAACUAGAACUAGAGGAACUAGAACUAGAACUAGAUGAACUAGAACUAGAACUAGAUGAACUAGAGGUAGAACUAGAAGAACUACAAGGAUCCUCUCUACUUAGAUGAAGAAUUGAAACCCUAGCUUUGAUUCUGUAGAAGAGGUAUGAUAUCCAGGGGCCAGGGGGGUCUGGUUUUAUAGUCCCUUCAAGUGAAUCUGGGCCAUUGGAUCAAACCGACAUUGAUCGUGUGGUUUUCCUUGAUCCUUUAAGUCGGUGGAGCAAUAUCCCGAAAGAGAGUCCUCAUUGGACUCUGGCUGAGGGCGGGCGCCCAGGAAAGGUGGGCGGGCGCCCUGUCCCUGAGUCCUCUCGGCCUCCGCUUCCUUCCCGUGGCUUCUGGAGUCUUCUAGAUGGUAGAAAAUUGCGCAGCACGUUAAUAUCUCUAUGUAAACCCGACGUGUGGGCCUUUCUUCCGUAUUUCCUGAUAACCCCCUGCAGAAAUAGACAAACACCAAAUCUCGUGGAAUUUUGUCAUAUAAAACCCUAAGUCUAGGUGUUGGUUGCAUAUAGAUCCUUUUCCAUGAUUAGUUGAUGGUUAAAUGUGAGCAUUAAGGACCGUCAACAAGCUCCCCCAAGCUUAACCUUUGCUCGUCCCUGAGCAAAGAUGAACUCAAGAGUUUCUGCAGUGGUUUCAUAACUCAAAGAUACACAUGCGUUUAAACAAGAUCUCAUCUCUGGUUAGAGUAAGCUGUUAAGACUUAAAACAUACUCAUUUACCUUUCACCAUGGGACUUGUAACCGUCACUUCUGUCUUGAGUAGUUAAAAGAUAGAACGGUCUAGUCAAGCACCAUGUCUCUUAUUCUUGAUCAACUAUAGCUCUGGAGUUUUUUGCAGAUUUUCAAAUAAAACUCAGAGAUUCCUUGUAUGACUCUCUCUAGUCUCUCUUUUGUGGUAUUUCUGGAUCCUUACCAAGGCAUUAAUGGUGUAUGCCUUCUCUCAAAGUAUGUGGUAUUUGUGGUAUAAGGCAUAGUGGCAUUGCCUUCUCUCUCACCCUACUCUAAUAAGGCUUUUGAUAUCUGGAGCUCAUAGGUGGGAGACAGCUAAUACAUACUUACAAGACAUUUAUUGCAUAGUCAAACCAUGGAUCCAGAAGAACAAGUCAAUAAGUCAAAUCAAGAUGUGCAUGUGUGGCGAAUGAAUGGUGUAUGGUGAUGAUGGUGAUAACAAUGGUGAAAGUCUAAUUCUACUUAUGCUCUUUUGAGGGGAUACAUACCUUUCUUGCUCUUUUGGAACUUUUUGAGGAGAAUGAGAUGCUCUAUAUUUUCUUUUUCUUUCCUCUCAGGUGGGUAUCUUGUACCCCUAAUUCUACUGUCGGACACUUGUCCAUUUUUACCUCUCGUCUCACUUCUUUUUUUUUCUUCUUUUUUUUUCGAGGUUCCGGGCACUUGCCCCUUUUUAUUUCCUCGUAUUCUUUCUCUUUUUUUUUCUUUUUUUAGAGCACUCAUCUCAUGAGAUAAUGUAGCAAGUGGUAGUAACAAGAUAACUUGAGCAUUUAUUUCACAGGGGAAAACAUAAAUGUUUUUGGCUAUUCUCUCCCGGAUUAGGAGUAGAAUAUUUUUAGGUGAUUCUGGAGAUAGAAAUGGGUGGAUAUAUGUGGAUGGUACUUCUGGAGUAGAAGUAGCAUGUGUGAGUGAACAUGCAAGUGAAUCUUGAUUUAACCACAUGACAAGCUCCUAAGGGUCUACACAGCUUGACCACACUCAAUGCUCAUAAGCAGUAAAAAGUAAAUGUGUGGCUCAAUGUCUAGCAAGCAUGUAUAUAUGGUUGUGGUAGGAAUUUAAACUCUCAUCAUACAGGAACUCAUCAUGCAACAUUUUAAAGAUUUUCAAAGAUAAAAUUCUCCAGAAUUCUAGCAUCUCUAGCAACAGAUAAACAGCAGCUCAACCUUCCCAUAUCAUAUCCGUUAACGACUUAGACUUUAGAUCAAGUACUCUUCCCACAAGUUCAGGUUUAGAGCAAAUCUUAAUUAAUAACAGUGAUGCCUAAACUUGAGAGAGAUUUCAAUUUUGAGAACUAGUCAUGGCAGAGCAACUAUUCAUCUUUCCAUGUGAGAGCUUAUCAUGAGGGUUCAUAGCAAAUUUUAUUUAUUUAUUUAUUUAGCAAACUAAGCAAAGAUAUAUAUAUAAGCACAAAAUCUUUAUUUGGGUUUUUAUGAUUAUGCAUCUUUUUAUUAUUAGAGUAAAGUAUAAACGUGAGUGGAAUACUUAGCUGGAUAAAUGGGGGUGCUCUCCCCCAAGCUGGAUUUUGACGUAAUUUCUUCUGAUAUAGCUAGUAGGUGGUGGAGGUGUAUUUGAAUGUCAGCAGCACCCUGACAGUGAUUAGGAUGUCCUCCGUGUGCUAGUUUUCUUUGAUCCUUGAAUUCUGUGGAGCUCAAAUAGACAACAAAGCUUUGUGGAACUAGUUAAGUGUUAGCAUAAAUAUCUAGCCUUUAUCAUGUUGAGCAUCCUCAAUAAAUAUUACUCUCUUUAGUAGGAUCAUAAAUUUAUUUUUAUAAUUUAAAUUUUUAUAGGACAGGAAUAUACUUAUUUUAUUUUUACGCCACCACAGUGAAUGCACUUAUGGGUUUUAUGCCAUGAGCAUACUCACAUGGGGCUUACUAUUUUUAACAUUUUUAUUUUCUUUUCAAGAUGAUAUGAACCUGAUUAACUAAGCAAACUAUUUUAAAUAGUUGAAAGGAAAAAGAUAACUACCAAGUUUACCUCUUGGCAAGGCGUUCGGUGUUUUUAAGUCAUCCGAACGGGACUCUCCAUUUUCUCAGUUGUCCUGCGCUUCGCUGGAUGGCGUAGUCGGUGGUUCCGGUGGAGCCUGCUCUUCAUGUAUAACUAUCUUUUUUUUUCUCCACACCUGACUCGAUGCUACGGUCUCCUCAGGACAGUUCUGUUCAAGUUGUAUGUCUUCAGACCUUACCACUUCUCCUUCAUAGUCCGCCCAUCCAUCCUUGAUGAUUUGCCUUCUCUGGUUGCGGUUGCGUCAUCUUCUUCUUGUCUUGACCUGCUUAGAGUCUUCAACUAUAUAGUUAAGGUCAAUAAAAUAGCGGCGUACCUUCUCAGAGGGGAAGUUCAUGAGGACUUCUCCAGUUCUAAUGUAGAUGAUUGCUUUAACGGUGCUGAGGAACUGUCUUCCAAGGAUGAUGGGUGGAUCGUACUCGUCUUCUCCCAUGUUGAUAACCUUUCGGAAUGUCUGAUCUGCCAUCUGGAGAUGAAUGUAUGUCGGUUUUAGGGGCAUGGUUCCGAACAGGAACUGAUAGGUGACUGCGGCUAUUAUGUUGACGCCUGACCCGGUGUCACAAAGCAUCUUUUGGAAGUUGUAUCCAUUAAUGGAGCACUGGAUGCUUGGCAUACUUGGGUUGUCCUUUUUGGUCAGGAACAGUGACUUAAGUCGACGGGCUUGUCCUCCUUGAACUGUAGUGACCAUCUUAGCUGACUUGGUCCACACUUGCUUGUUCCUGUUCCUCCGGUUGGUCCUCUUCCUUGGUUCAUGUCGGGAUUGCUCUGAGACUUGUGUAGUCUUGUUCUUGAAGGAAAACGUCUCCUUCCUCCCCUCGAUGUAGAAACUAAUCUUGGCAGCACUAGCGUAGAUGACAGCUCCUGAGGUGUUCAGGAAUGGCCUCCCUAGGAUGAUGGGUGCCCUCUCAUCAAUACCAGUCUCUAUCACCACGAAGUCUGCUGGGGCGUACAAGGUACCAACUUGGACACAGAGGUUCUUCAAUAUUCCCUUUGGGAAACUUAGCGUACGAUCUGCAAGCUGCAAACACAUGGCUGUUUCUAAUAAAGGAUGUGUAAAGAAUUUUUCAUAGAGUACCCUAGGCGUAAUGUUGACACUGGAGCCAAUGUCGCAGAGUGCUUCUAGGAAGUCCACCAUGCCGAUGGAGAUCGGGAUGACGGGGCGUCUUGGAUCGUCUCUCUUGACCGGCAGAAGGUCAGUGAUUACUUCCACAACGGGGUUACUCCAGUAGUUACGUCCUCAAGAAUCUCAGGGUAGUGAUUGCCUGAGUGUCCAGUAUCUCCAGUGUGUUUGUGCUCGUAGAUCUAGGUUCUUCACUUGGUGGAGUCUGGGAGUUGUAAAAGUCCUUCAUAUUUUGCUCGAAGUGUACCUGCUCAUAGAGACAAGGCAGAGAUCAAGUGUAUGGGCCCUGUUGGUGGAAAACACCAAUAGAACCAAAAGUGUAUUUGUUCUUCUCUAACCUUAAGCAUAGUGAGCAAGACAAAGUUAAUGGAUAAUAAAAUCAUGAGUGUAGCAUUUAAAACAUUUGUCAGAUCAGAUCGCUCAACCUAAUGGAAAGAUAAUCUAUCUAUAUUUAUGUUGUUUUUUUAUAAAAUAUAUCCUCCAAAGAUUGAGUGUGCAACAUUUUAGCUCAUAAGAUUAGGAGUGUGGGAUCACAAAGGUGGAAGGACUAAACAUGUUGAAUCGAUUGGGUUGGUUAAUCUAGAGUUGUAAAUCAUACGUGUUUGUCUCUUUUAUUCAUGUGAACGCCAGAAAAAAGGAGAAGCUUAUAAAAGUGAUAGUCAAGUACCUUAAGAUGUUACCUUACUUGAAGAGUGAUGGUACGGUAUCUCCUUGUGGAAGCUUUCCUUUCUUAGCGGUUGUGCAUCGUGUUUGUAGCACCCUCCAUGGAUCAUCUCUUGUGAGCUAUGCCUUCCUUGUGUAAAUUGUUAAACUUCAUGUGCCUCUCUCUUUGUCAAAAAUGUGAGUGUAUCUCAGGACUUCCCAGGUCGAUAGUGAAAGUUUUCCUGCAGGGGUUAGUCCAACAAAAUAUCCCAUGUCUACUAUAGCAUACUAUCGGCUCACAAAUCAACCUAGACACCAUGUCUAAUUUGAUUCAGGAGGGCUUUUUUAACCUAAGCACCAUGCUUAAUUUAAAACCCCUUGGAAGUAAGAUCAUCAUUCCUAAACUAAGCACCAAGCUCAAUUAAGAGAUAAAUGAAACUACUCCAAACCUAGACAUAUACUAAAGCAAAUAAAGGUAGCAUGAGAGCAUUUAUAGAGAUCUACUCAAGUGGAGAUGAAGUAGUGUGAUUAGUAUUUAACAAAUUGAGCAUGUCUCAAAGGUAGGGACAACCAACAUAGCAACAUAGCAAAGGAUGUUUUUAUGUAAAGUACUCCCCCAAGCUUGAAUUUUGCAAAAUUCAAGUUUGGAUGAAUUUAAUUCAAUGUUGUAAGAUGAUUGGUUGGACAUACCUUGUGCUUGUCAUUCAUCCGAUCUUCUUGCUCCAAUCCUGGAAAGGUUAGUGACAAGAAUACCCGAAGGGAUAUUUUUUUCAAUUGUCCUUAUAUGCUCAACACACAAGGUAAUGUUGCAAAUAAUUAAAAGCUCAUGUUAUGAUCUGAUCAGUGCUUGUUUUGGGACACUAAGCUUGUCCUUGGGAAACCAUCAAUUUAUGUCUGCGAAGUGGUUUCCCCUCCAACGCUGACCUAUAUCAAGAUCAACUCAACGAGAUCUGCAAUAUUUAAUAUAGACAUAUGCAUCGACAACCGCCCUUUUAAAGUUUUUAUAAAAAGAAAGGAAGAGGGGGUUGGUGAUCUCGAAUGUGGUGAUGUUGGAAAAACCAAUGGAUUAGGAAGAUGUUGCAUAUGAGCAUGGAGUAAAUGAAGUGGUUAUGAAAUAAAUUCCAUGCUCAUUAAUGCUUAGAGUGAAAUCCAUGUGGUAUGGUGAAAAUGAUAAGGUGAAAAUGGUAUAAAAGAAAAAGAAAAAGGAUACACGGACGACUUGGUUCGAAACUAGCACAGCUACCGUUCCCCGGCAACAGCGCCAGAAAGCUUGUUGGGUAUUUUAAACGCAAACAGAAAAAUCCGCAAGCGCACGGAUACCGAUGUAGCUUUCACCCGGGAGUAUUCCAAAGUAUCGAUUUUCCACAGAGAACGUGAGUGUACUAAUUAAGAUCCAAGAUCGCCCAAGGAUAACUAUAUAAUUAUUUUUGGUGGAAAGAGAGGAAGUUUCCUGAGAGUUCUCUAGUUGAUCUAAGAAUCAAGGAUUACUUCAAGAUUAUCUAUAUCGGGACAUCAGAGCACUAACCACAGAAAGAGAUGAGAAGGGGGCUAGGAAGGUCUGACUACGGUCCUACAAACACCGAUCCGAACGUGGUGGAAUACGUCGACCGUUAGGGCCGUCACUACCCUAAGGCUACCACAACAAUCCGCAGGAUUGGGUGCAAUUCCAGGUAAUCGCAAGACUAAACACCACGUCUAAUCUAUUAAUUACUACUCUAGCGUUAUAAAGACUAGAGCACUUGAUGCAAGCGGGAAUCCAAUAAAUAACUUGAAUGUAAAUAAAAGUAAUUAGAGAACCAGGAGUUAUGAAUUGAAGAACCUAGAGAACGAUGAAGAACGAACCAGUUGCUGCAAAAGUACAAUGUUGAGGAAGAUCCGACAGAUCCGGCUCUUCCUCCGCUCUCCUCUUCUCUCUCCCUAUUUUCUAGAUUACAACUAGAACUAACUAGAACUAGAACUAGAGGAACUAGAACUAGAACUAGAUGAACUAGAACUAGAACUAGAUGAACUAGAGGUAGAACUAGAAGAACUAGAGGGAUCCUCUCUACUUGGAUGAAGAAUUGAAACCCUAGCUUUGAUUCUGUAGAAGAGGUAUGAUAUCCAGGGGCCAGGGGGUCUGGUUUUAUAGUCCCUUCAAGUGAAUCUGGGCCAUUGGAUCAAACCGACAUUGAUCGUGUGGUUUUCCUUGAUCCUUUAAGUCGGUGGAGCAAUAUCCCGAAAGAGAGUCCUGAUUGGACUCUGGCUGAGGGCGGGCGCCCAGGAAAGGUGGGCGGGUGCCCUGUCCCUGAGUCCUCUCGGCCUCCGCUUCCUUCCCGUGGCUUCUGGAGUCUUCUAGAUGGUAGAAAAUUGCGCAGCACGUUAAUAUCUCUAUGUAAACCCGACGUGUGGGCCUUUCUUUCGUAUUUCCUGAUAACCCCCUGCAGAAAUAGACAAACACCAAAACUCGUGGAAUUCUAUCAGAUAAAACCCUAAGUCUAGGUGUUGGUUGCAUAUAGAUCCUUUUCCAUGAUUAGUUGAUGGUUAAAUGUGAGCAUUAAGGACCGUCAACAACGAUCAUAGUUUCGCUAACACAGCCACGAACCGAGAGUUCCAAGACGGCAGCUGGUUACAGCAACUCGGCAAGAUCCCCCUGGCAUUGGGAUGCAACGAAACGUGCGUCGGUCGCUAGUAGAUGGAAAAAGAGAUGCGGUGAGGGAAGGCCAAGGCUAAAUAGGGCUCGAGAAAAUCAAAUCCUGUGGAAAUCGGGAUUGGGAAGGUUCGGUGGACUCCAUCAACUCCGGCUCGGUCACGCAGAGAAGGAGGAGGGUGCUGCCCUGUGAGCCCCAAGCGUCAGAGUAAGGAGCGUUGGGUCCUGGUCGUCAGCGGCAGAAAAGAGGGAGGGAUGGCGCACGCACAUUCCUGGGCCACGCACUGGGCCGAAACCUGGGCCGCACGUGGGGAGAGGGAAGCUGGGCCUUGGACACUGCCCUAGGCCGAGAGCAUGUAAGCUUUCUCUUUUUUGUUCUUUUCCAAAAAUUUUUCCAAAUGAACUUUUGAGUACAAAUAAAAUAAAAGUAGAAACAAUCAGCACAAAAAUAAUUAUGCUCCAGCAUGAAUGCAAAACAUGUUCCUAACCUUAUGACGCAUUUUAAUUUCAACAAAAAUUAUUUAUUUGCUAUAUUAAAUGCCCACAAAAAUACUUAAAUAAAUCCAAUUAAAUCCUAUUAAUUGAAAAUCAGAUUUUGGGUGUUACAAAUUCUACCCUCCUUAAAAGAAUCUCGUCCUCGAGAUUGAGCAGUGCUUACUCAAAUAACUGUGGAUAUGAUUUUCUCAGAUCAUCCUCUCUUUCCCAAGUUGCCUCUGCUUCUGAAUACCGAUUCUGUUGCACUUUGCACAGUCUAAUGACCCGACUGCUAGUGGCUCUCUGAGCUGUCUCCAAUAUUUUAACCGGAUAUUCUUCAUAUGUGACAUCACCCUUAACAAAAAGCUCUUCUAAUGGUAUUUGCUCCUCAGGUACUCGCAAACACUUCUUAAGUUGUGACACAUGGAACACAUCAUAUACACCAGAUAAACUUUCAAGCAAUUCCACCUGAUAGGCCACUUCUCCAUGCCUUUGCAAAACUUUAAACGGACCAACAUACCUUGGAGCUAGCUUUCCUUUCAUACUAAACCUCUUCACACUCCUCAUUAGUGACACUUUUAGAUAGACAUAAUCACCUUCUUCGAAAGCCAACCCUUAGAUUAUCCCGUAUGGUCUGCACUUAUUGUUCUGCAUGCCUAAGCACAUACGUGCCAAACACCUGGGUCUCUCCUGUCUGAUUCCAAAAUAGAGGAGUCCUGCACUUACGACCAUACAAUGCCUCAAAUGGUGCCAUCUUAAGACUCUGCUGAUAGCUGUUGUUGUAAGAAAAUUCUGCAUAUAGCAAACUCUUGUCCCAACUAGUUCCAUACUACAGUGCACAAGCUCUCAACAUAUCCUCUAGGAUCUGAUUAAUCCUUUCAGUCUGUCCAUCUGUGUGGAUGAUAUGCUGUACUAAAAUUCAACUUUGUUCCCAAGGAAUCAUGCACCGCUUUCUAAAAGUGGGAUGUGAAUUGGGUACCCCAAUCAGACACAAUAUUCUUAGGGACCCCUUGUAGACAUACAAUCUUUUUAAUAUACAGCUCAGCUAGGCGUCCUUUGGUAUACUUAGUCUUGACAGGUAUAAAAUGAGCAACUUUCGUCAAACGAUCUACUAUCACCCAUAUUGAGUCAUACCCUCUCUGUGUACGUGGUAAACCCACUAUGAAAUCCAUACCUACCUCUCCCCACUUCUAUUCUAAGAUCUUCAUUGGUUGCAACAGUCCAAUUGACCUCUGAUGUUCAGCUUUCACUCGCUUGCAAGUAUCACACACAGUAACAUACUUAGCCACAUCCCUUUUUAAGCCAUACCACCAAUACUUUUGUUUCAGAUCUAGAUACAUCUUAGUGCUACCAGGAUGAAUAGAAUAAGCUGAUUCAUGAGCCUCUCGUAGAAUCUUAUCACGAAUAGCCUUCACUUCAGGAACACAUAUCCUUUUCCCAAACCACAAUAUAAUGUUGUCAUCUAUCCUGAAUCCUUGUGCCUUACCUAGUACCACAUUCUAUGCUAUCUCCUUUAGUUUUGUCGAGGAUAUCAGUAAGGGGUACCCCAACUGAUGUGCAUAACGAGAAUAACCGUACGCAAGUCGAGGCCUCCAACUCGACGCCCUACCCACUAAUACACACGGUCCUCGACGGCCAUAGUCUCGAACACGGAAAGAGCGUCCUGCGAAUCGACCAGGGCUCGAGCGCCGGCUACCGUCGAAUACGGAAACAGGCUCGAGCGAAUCGGAAGGCGUCGAGCGCAAGGACGCCGCCCGCCGCCUGACGCGGGCACGGGAACCAGGGCGUUUAAUGCGCCAGCCGCAUUCUCACCUAACCCGCCAGUCACGGGAAGCGUGAUAGGGAACAGGCACCCGUCCUGUCAUUCUUUUUGCAGCCUUCCCCACCAAACAAGCUAGAACAUGGCAGGGUGCAGGGAGUGGGUCGGAACGUCUAAUCAAGACCCCCCUCGAGACGCCCAAGGUCAGCGCUCUGGCUAGCAAAGUGUUACACGGCAUCCAACCCUCGAGUAGGCGUGUUUCCUUCCUAGGGAAGUGUUGGGCGACGAGUGACAGCACCUCAACCACUCCAACGCAGCUGCUGCCGCGACGUACAAGCGUGCAACAGAUAAGCCUGUCCAGGACGGCGUACAGAGCGGGAUACAGAGGCACGCAUAAUCAUCAUCAAGGUACCAAGACAAGAUGGCUUGAGACCAUGCCGGUAUAGAGGCCUCGAGUAGGUCAGCGCGCCAUACCGAUAUCGACCCCUACUCUGACGCCUAUACAUGUACCCUAGGCCUCUCCUUGGAACUAUAAAAGGAGAGGCCCGGGAGCGGAUAGGGACCACGCGAUACAAUACAACACUCACGCUUAGUAGAGCUUCCAUACUCCAUCUCCAUCCAUCUGACUCCUGUAUUCACCCCUGUACAAGCACUUAGGUGCAAGAUAAUACAAACACCUCCCCCCCCGCUGGACGUAGGGCCUUCUCUUGCCCGAACCAGGAUAAAUCUUUGUGUCUUUUCUUGCAUCACUAUCUGGAAAGGGGAGCACGCAUAUAAGUUUUAUUCGUUGGUGUGACCCCCCGUGGGGAAAACACCGACAAGUUUCUCAUCCUCCAACUGUCCUUUUAAUAUCUCCAUCUCUAAAGUAGGAGUCACCUCUAUUUCCAUAGCAUUCACUACAAUUCCUAGGUUCAAAUAUGCAAAUUCAGCACACAACUCCUCAGAUUCUGGUGUCGCCUGAAGCUCAUUAGCAUAUUUCAUCCUGCUAAGUGCAUCAGCUAUGACACUCGCCUUUCCAGGAUGGUAAUGCACUUCUAAAUCAUAAUCUUUUAUCAGUUCCAACCAUCUACAUUGCCUCAAAUUCAGAUAUUUCUUCGUGAUGAUAUAUUUCAAACUCUUAUGAUUAGUAUAUAUGUCACUCUUAUGCCCAAUCAAAUAGUGUCUCCAAAUCUUCAGUUCAUGGACCACUGCUCCUAAUUCUAGAUCAUGAGUAGGAUUGUUUCCUCAACUGUCUGGAUAAAUAUGCUACCACUCUACCCUCUUGCAUAAGAACACAACCCAAUCCCAAACAAGAGGCAUCAUAAUAAAUAGAGAAACUAUUACUCAGAUUUGGCAAUACCAACAUAGGUGCAGUAGUCAGUCUCUUGUUAAAUUCCUCAAAGCUAGCUUGACACUUAUUAGACCAAACAAAGUUAGCAUUCUUCUCUAACAGAGCAGUCAUAGGCUUUGCAAGUUUUGAGAAUCCUUUAAUAAAUUUACAAUAAUAACUAGCUAGAUCAAGAAAGCUGUGAAUUUCACUUACAUCUGUAGGCGGUUUCCAAUUCAGCACAUCUUUCACCUUACUAGGAUCCACUGCAAUACCACCAUUAGAGACAACAUAGCCAAGAAAAGAAACUUCUUCCAACCAAAACUCACAUUUACUAUGCUUAGCAAACAACUUAUGUUCUCUAAGUUUUUGUAAGACCAAUCUCAGAUGUUCAGCAUGUUCUUCCUUUGUUUUAGAGAAUACCAGUAUAUCAUUGUCGGUGUUUUUCCCAACGGGGGGUCACACCAACGAGUAAAUUUGUAUGCGUUCUCCCUUUUCCAGAUGGUGAUGCAAAAAGACACAAAGAUUUAUCCCAGGCAAGAGAAGGCCCUACGUCCAGCGGGGGGGAGAGUUUGUAUUAUUCUGCACCUAAGUGCUUGUACAGGGGUGAAUACAAGUGUGGGAUUGAUGGAGAUGGAGUAUGGAAGCUACACUGGCCAUGAGUGUUGUAUCCACUUGUCUUCCGCUCCCGGGCCUCCCCUUUUAUAGUUCCAAGGGGAGACCUAGGGUACAUGUAUAGGCGUCAGAAUAGGGGUCGAUAGAGGUAUGGCGCGCUGACCUACUCGAGGCCUCCGUACCGGUGUGGCCUCGAGCUGUCCUAUCUUGGUGCCUUGAUCAUGAAUACGCGUACCCCUAAAACCCACUCCAGUGCGCCGUCCUGGACUGACUUGGCUGUUGCAUGCUUGUACGUUACGGUGGCAGAUAUGUCGGAGUGGUUGUAGUGUUGUCAUUCGACGCCCGACGCUUCUCCAGGAAGGAAAUGUGCCUACUCGAGGGUCUGGUGUCGUAUAAUGCCUUCUCAGCCAGAGCGCUGACCUUAGACGUCUCGAGGGGGGUCUUGAUUAGACGUUCCGACCCACUCCCUACGUCCUGCCUCGCUCUGGCUUGUUUGGUGGGAAGGCUGCAAAAUGAAUGACGGGACGGAUGCCUGUUCCCUAUCACACUUCCCGUGACUGGCGUGUUAGGUGAGAACGCGACAGGCGCAUUAAAUGCCCCGGUUCCCAUGUCCGCGUCAGGCGGCGGGCGGUGUCCUUGUGCUCGACGCCUUCCGAUUCGCUCGAGCCUGUUUCCGUUUUCGACGGUAGCCGGCGCUCAAGCCCUAAUCGAUUCGCUCGACGCCCUUUCCGUCUUCGAGGCUGCGGUCGUCGAGGACCGUACAUGUGACUGGGUAGAGCAUCGAGUUGGAGGCCUCGACAUGCAUACGGGCAAUCUCGUCAUGUACACCAGUUAGGAUACCCCUUACUGAUAUCCUCGACAGUAGCCCCCGAGUCUCCAUUUGAGCGCUGGCGCUCGAGUGGAGGCUUUAUUUUGCGGUUGAGUUUCCGUGGGGGCACGUGAGCGACCCCGCGGGGGUAGCCCCCGAGUCCUUGGAGGAGUUUUUGACUCCUUUGAGGGCUAUAAUGCCUAACUUGUGGAAAAGCCCUCGAUAUCCAUCGUGGAUGGUUCUGAUUGAUUCGUUUUACGUAGGGGUCUCAACGUACUCUCAAUAGAGCGAGGGUCAUCUACCCCAGAUUGAGCUCCUAGCGGGUGAACCAAGUGAGAACCUGUGCCCCUUUCGAGGGGGUCAGCUGCAGCCCGGGGGCGUUCUCAUAAAGCGGGGUCGACGUGGUCGGGGAUGCUGGUCUCAUUCGAUAGAGUCCAGUGGCUCGAUGCCUCCCGUCGGGGGGAUUCCUCUCGAGUGUCUCGACCCUACCUUGGACAUCCCCAGCGAGUUCUCGAGGCGGGCCUCAAUUUUUGACCACUCGCCGGGCAUCCCUGACUCUAGUGCUUGAGAUCGG